UGAAAUUUACCUAUACAAUAUGCACGCAUCAUGUAGCGCUGCUGGUGCUUAAGCCCACGCGUGGGUAAAAUUGCGGAUCAGAGAAUCAUGGUUAGUGUCCAACAAGUUCUUGACUAGCAAUGGUGCAUUCAAGGUUUCACCCCAACAUUGUGUGUGUGUGUGUGUGUGUGUUUUUUUUUUUUUUUUUUUUAAUUUAUUUUUUAUAGAAGCAUAUUCAAGAAAAAGGGCAUCUUGUGGAUUUCUGUUCAUUUCGAUAUAUGUUCAAUUAAAAGAGACAUGAUAUUCUAAACGUCUCACAUUGGAUUGAUGAGAACGAAAUUGUGAUUGAAUACAUAAAAAAUUAUGACCUUAAUAAUAAUGAUAGGCUGAAGUAUUUUGGAUCGAUGGUUUAGACUCAAUAAAUUAUUAUUGAUAGCGGAUCGAAUUGUUAUAGUCUAGCGUCAUAUUAGAUUGAAAAGAAAUUCUAAUUAGAAAUAUAAGAGGCCACACACUAUAGUAAUAAUAACUUGACUUAAAUAUUUUAGGCCAAUGAUUUGACCUCAACGAAUUAUUAUUACAUAGCGGGUCUAGUCAUUACAUUUGGUAUCAGUCGAGUCUCACAUUGUCAGAUAAUUUUGGUCGUGUAUGUGAUUGGGCUAACAAGAACGUCGGAGCCUAAACGGAGGGAGUCUGUGACAUUCCAAUAAUUCCACAUCGGUAAAAACGAAAUUGUGAUAUUAAUCGAGCUUAGGCAUUUAGGCCAAUAAUUUAAAUCCAAUAAAUUAUUAUUGUUAGCGUGUUGAAUCAUUAUAAGAGUGCUCUUCAAUCAAGUAACAAAAAGCUUUAAAAAAAUCCGAAAAUGUAAGUAUCACAUUGGGGUACACCCAAGUAAUGUGAUUUAAUGAUUGAUCUAGUCAAAUUUGAGUAACAAGGUGAGUGUUCAGCUGUGAUUUACAUCUUUUAUCAUUUUCAUCCAUUCAAUUAUACUAUUCAACCAACCACCUAUUCAACCCGCACAUCUUUUAAUCCAUUAACAGAAAACUUAAUUAGCACCAAGUCAUUGGUGCUAUUGAUAGCAUUCCAGCCUAGUCCUCUCUCUCUCUCUCUAUAUAUAUAUAUAGAGAGAGAGAGAGGACUAGGCUGGAAUGCUAUCAAUAGCACCAAGAGCUUGGUGCUAUUAAGUUUUUGGCUUUUGGAUGAAGAAAUGUAACGACAGAAAACUUGAUAGCACAAAAUACUUCGUGCUAUCGAUAACAUCCUAGUUGGACUAAUAUAAAACUAGGCUGGAAUGCUAUUAAUAGCACUAAGAACUUAGUGCUCUUAAGUUUUUAGUCCUUGGAUGAAGAAAUAUGCGAUUAGGAUGAUGUGGGCCUUCUAGGGUCGAGUAAGUUGUUGAUUGAAUAGUAAAAUCUAACGAAUGAAAAUAGUCAAAGAGUUAAAUCUGACGAUGGAAAACUCGAUAACAUCAAGUCCUUGGUGCUAUCGAUAGUAUCCCUGCCGGACUAUAUAUAUAUAUUUUUUAAAUCAACAUAUCAAUGAGUGAAUUUUAGGAGCACAUUUUGAUUGAUUUAGGAUAGGGAUGAUGUAGUCCAACUCUGACAUUUUAGAAUUGUAGUGCUGUUGAUACUUAUCUAAUGCGCCUUUUCUUGUAGGAAACUCCACAUGCCACGUAGAAAUUAAUAGCUGAUUUUGUAUCUAAUAUUCAAUAUUAAAUUUUAGCAUAAUUUUCCAUGAAUUGAAACAUUGAAUCAAGUGUACAUGUAAAGAUGUGCACGCUAGGAAUGGGAAAGCUCGUGUUUGAUUGGUGAAUUACAUGUUAAGUGAUCGAUUGCUUAACGUCUUCUAAGCUAUUUUAAAGGGCUAAUCUCUCAUCGAACACGGCAAAUCAAAAGAUAAUCGCAACAUUUGAACAGCUUGGUAUUAUUUUCCAUCUGCGAGAUCUAUUAUGCAGUGAAAGGUAAUUGAGAAUGACAAGCAAGGUAAAGAAAUGACUUCGCUCAGACAAAGAAAUUAAGUUGUAUAUUAAUUUAUAUUAUCAUUUGCACUUUCGUCAAAGUUACAUUUCAUGAUUCUGAGUUCAUUUUUAUGACAACGUCAAAGUUUUGUAAGUUAAUAUGUUUCGUGGCGAAAUUAGCGUACUGUGGCUUAUUCUAUCUUCUUUGAACUUAAUGAAAACAAGAGAAAGAUUACAUUCCAAGAUUUGCUUCAAUAAACAAUCAUAAAAUUACACAUCAUUCAUAAACAGGAGGGAUGUGGAUAUCAAAAGAUUUGUAUGCAGUUCUUGUUGGAUUUUAUCCAAUAAUAAAUUUUGAUGAUAACAAACAAAUAUUAGAUUUAAUUUGUCAUUUAGCAAUUUCAGGUUAUAGUUGAAUUUAAAGUGGCUCAAGUUGAACCGGAAUUGAUCAAAGGUAACCAUUCAAUCAAAUUAUUCAAAUUGGCCCAGACAAGAUCAAAUUGUACCAAAUUGGAUGCAAGUGCCAUUACAAUAUUUUGAAGGACUUCUUUGCAAUUAUCAGAUUUGAGCCGGUCAACCUAGUCAAGUUGUUCAAUUCACCUUUUGGGUUUAAUUUGUGCUUAAUGUCAAAUUAGCCAUUAUUUUAAUAUGGUAUGAAAGUGAUUUUAUGUAUGGUAUAAAUUCAAACAUGAUUUUAUUAUGAUAUGAAUUUGAAAAUAUGAAAUAUGAUAUAAAUGUAUUUUACAAGUUUGGUAUUAUUUCAAAAGCUUUUACAAAUGUGGAAUGAAUUCAAAAAGUUUUCAUUUGUAGUAUUAAUUUAAAAGAGUUUUGCAAAUGUGGUAUGAAUUCAAAUUUAUUUUGAAAUUAAUUCAAAUACAUUUGCAAAUAUGGUUAAAAUUCAAAUUAAAAUCAAUUAUGAUUUAAUUAUGCUUUUGUUCCAUUUUUGAAAUGAUGGCUAGUGUAUUUAAAAGGAGGCUUGGAUGUUGUUUGCAUAAAACUUCAGAAAAUUCUCUAAGUCCUAAUUGUUCAUUGAUUUGUAAUUGUGAGCUUCUGGAGAGAUUGUAAAAGAAGUUUUGUAUGAUUGUAAGCGGUUUUGGUCUUGCCCUAUUCAAAAGGCUAAGUGAUAGUGAAAUCGGUAUCUCGAGGAGAAGAAGGACCGGACUGGAGUAGGCAGAAGGGCCGAACCAGGAUAAAUCAUCUGUGUUAUCUGAGUUUGAUUUUUUUUUUUUAUUUGGUUGUGCAAUUUUUAUCUGAAUUUAAUUUUACUUGAGUUUUUAGUUGUCAACUAAUUCACCCCCCCUCUUAGUUGCCAUUUAAUCCUUCAUUUCUUUCAUUUAUUAAUUGUUGCGUCUUUUUCUAUUGUUUGAAAAGAGUAUUUAUCUUUGAUCUGCAAAUUACAUUACAAAUUCUCAAGAAGGUAGCAACAAUUCCCUGAAUUUCACCACCACGCGAUUUUCACUUACAUCGACACCAGAAAAGCAUACAGCAGUUGAUCAACUUAGUUAACACCUCAAGUCCGAGUCCGAAAUCUCGGCGCAAAAUAGAAUCACAUCAUAAGCAGAUCAUAUGCUAGGCUUCAAAAGCAAACUUUUAUUCAGUAACAGUAGGCUUACAGAAUCGCAUGCUAUUUUAUAAUUACUGAUGUACAAACAUACAUAUUUCGCUUAUUCAUCCACACGAAAAUCGCAGUUCUGAAUUAUACUGAAGAACAUGUGGAAUUAAUUUCACUGAGCGUUAGCAAGCAGUGCCUCGGCUUGCUCCUCGUACGUAAACCCUUCGCUAAGGGAGUUGUCUGCGGACCAUACGAAGAUCCCGAAAAGAUUCCCCGCGGCCUGAAGAGAUUGACAUGCACUGAGAGCGGUUUGUACUGACACGAACUGCGGAUUGUUAUCGGUAUUAAAACUGGCCAAAAUACUCCCUCCGUUGUAAUUCGCUUGCUGAGCAUUGUAGUAACUCACGUACUGAUCUACUGUUGUGCUCGAGUCGUACCCAUAGAAUUGGAAGUUCACGUAGUCUAUGACGCCGGAAUAGCUUGCCCACAGAGCCUGGUAAUGGCUUUGUAUGUCGGGAUCGUCGUAUGGAGCGAUGGACGCGAAGGAGAUCACUCCGUUGUUCUUCAGGGUCGUGAUCAGUUGCCCAAUACACUCCGUGAAGGUGUCGGGAUCGGCUAGGAAGUUCUCGUAGUCGACGUCGAUGCCGUCGAGGUUGUAUUGCUGGAUCAUGCUGGUUAGCGAGGAGACCGCGUUGCCGACCCAAGAGUCGAUGGAGGAAGGGGUGAAGUUGGCGGGUGGGCCGCCACCGACGCUGUAGCCGCCGAGGCUGACGGCUACUUUUACGUUCGGGUUGCUUUGUUUGAUGGCGGCGACGGCGGAGGGGGUGAGGUUGGUUGUGUCCCAGAAGGGGAUGAACUGGCCGUUGGUCGGCGUGGGGGACGAGCCGGUCGUGUAGUCGAGGGCAAAGGCCAGGAGGAAGUGGAAUUCGACGUCCGGAUUGAUCGGUACAUCGGAGAACUUGACGCCCCGGGACUGCGCCCCGAUGUACUCGCGGAAGAGGUUGGAGUUUCCGGCCGAAGCCAUUGGUGCAAGCAGAGGUAGAAGAGCAAGCAAAAGGGAGAAGAGCUUUGAUGGCAUCGUUUUGUUUGUGGGUUAUAGCGGUAGAUAUAAUAAUUUGGUUUGAGUUUGGUGAGAAAUGAUUAGGGAGAGGGGGGGCCCUUUUAUGGCUUAUUUUGAUUCCUUUUCUCCUUUGAGUUAAUGAAUAUAAGGUGAACGGACCUGCCCAUUGUUGAACUACCCUUGUGGAAUUGGGAGGAGACUAAGUCAAAGAGAAGAUACAUAGGGGCCGUUUGGCCUAAAUUUUAAAAGAGUGAGUUUUAUAUAAUUAAUUUUAGUUUGGAAAGUAAAAUAUAAAUUUCUAGAUAGUCAUGGACUCAGGAGAAGUUUCUUUAGUCGUUUCCAAUUGAAAAUUUCGUCCUAACCUUUUGGCAACACAGGAAGCAAAAGGUGUAAAUGAACUCGCACUGUGAGAGACAGUUAGUUACACAGCGGAACUUAGGCGGGUAAUGCGCAAAACCAACGUCAAUCACGAGACUUUGGAUCAAAUCAACUUCAAGAAAAAUAAAUCCGUUAUUUGGUUUAAGUUAUUCCAAAUCCAAGUUUUUCAAGAAAUAUUUGAAAUCCAAUCGACAUUUUGCUGCAGAGGACGGGAUUCUGUGUGUCCUGGCAAUAAGUUUAUCUUAGAAUAGAUACAUAAGAUACUCACUUUAAAGCUUUACGUCCUGAAUUUGACUCCAGAUUGUAUUAUAUUAGGGUAACUACAGUAGGUUACCCUCAUCAAGGAAGAAUCUCUUUUUAGUCACAUUCAAACUCAGCUAAUGUAGGAUGAGGAAACAAAACAAGCAAGCGCAUUAUGCUCGUAUUAUCGUAAAACAACUGGGUAAAGAGUUGCUGCUGUAGCCAGUAAGAUUUUUGACACAUGUUCACUCUGAGCAAAUUCAGUAAAUUCUUUAUUAGGGAGGAAAAGAAAAAUUGACAUACUGGCAAAAUCAAAAAUUUAAUGAUGGCCAGACUACAUAUGAACAACAAAAUACAUUAAAAAAAAAAAGAGGAGAAGCUACAGCAGUUCUUACUUUGCUUCUUUGCCUGCGCAUGAAGAGUUAUCCACAUCGGCCGAGAAUGCCAGAAGUCAAGAAUAUGUGUUGAAUCUGUAAGAAAAUCCCCCUUUCCACUUAAUGCCUACAUAACUGAAUCGAUUUGUAUAACAUGUCGUGUACUCGCAAGUCUCAUCCUUUGACAACUAUGUGUGCCUUCCAAAAUAUCUAGCAUGCAUGAUUAGGACUUGCUUGUUACCAGUCCAUAUAUCAUUGGAAAUUAAAUUCAAUCUGAAUUGCUUCCGCAACGCUUGUCCGAUCCAUCAGGCACUCUUGAAGGCAUUGUAGCUCUUCAAGACAAAACCUUUGCGCUCUUGAAGACAUUGUAGUUAUCUUUCCAUGAUUUCAAUCACUAUCGAAGAGUUACUGAUUCUUUCAUGGAUCCUAGUUCGCUCGUGUAGGUAUCUAUUACACAAGAGUCUGCUUUAUUGCGGCCCAUCAACAUACCGCCAAUUGUCAAGUUAGAGUCAUCAAACCUUACUAGAGCACGUAACGCCUUGAUCCAUUCCUUCAAACCAACUUGAGCAUCAUUUCUUCUCACCAUCUCUAGAUGCUCGAUAGCACUACUUGGAGCUCCACGCUUAAUUAGGAUGAGCCCUAGUGUCUUAAAUGUUGCAUCAUUUGGCUUUACACCUGAAGCUAACAUCUGCUGAAAGCAUUUUACAGCUUCCUUCAUUCUGCCACCUGACGCAUACAAGCUGAGCAUGCUGUUGUAGCUUAAUAUAUCAGUUAAAAGCCCAAGAACUUGCAUCUCUUGAGAGACCCGAUAAGCAUCACCAACUCUCCCAACCUUCUUGUACAGGCACAUCAUCAUUGCAUAAGAAAAUUCAUUUGCCUUUCUGCUGUUUCUCAAGUUCUCGAAAACUUCCUCUGCUUCUCUAACCAUAGCAUAGUCAUUGUAAAGAUUGAUCAUGCAAUUGGACGAAUACACAUCUGGACUAUCAUCCGAUGAUUUGACUAGCUCGUAUGUUUCUUGGGCUUCUCGCAGAAGUCCUACCUUCGUAUAGAGCUUGAUAAGCGAGUUGCGUAUAAUCAAAUUAACAGCAAAACCAGCUCUCUUCAAUGAAUCAACAUAUUUGACUGCUUGUUGGACAUCACCAACUUCGGCAUAUGCAUCGAUCAAGAUCGAAUAAACAACAAUAUCGGCAGAUAUUCCAAAGCUGGUCAUUUCUUUAAAUAAAUCCUCCACCAUUUGAAGCUCGCCAAGCUUAGCAAAACUGUCCAUCACCACAGAAUACGGAACACAAUCACUUACGAAGCCGGCCUCCUUCAUCCUCCUGACAUAGGAAACUGCUUUUUUAGGCAGCCCAGCAGCUGAUAAAAUCUGUAUGAGAGAAUUAUAAGUGCAGCUAUCUGGAAAAAUACCAUAUUUCUCCAUUUUAUCAAAAAGCUCACGAGACUUAUCAUACUUCUUUCCGAUUCCAUAUGCUUUAAUCAUGACAUUGAAAACAAGAACACUAAGCUUUUGUCUGCCUAAGCAGCAACAGAAAGCAUUCUCUGCUAGAGAGAGGUGCCCAUUCUCUCCAAAAGCAUCAAUAUUAGCCGAGAAGCACUCCGAACUCAUGUUAUCGCAAAACCUCUCAAACCAGGACCAUGACUGUUCAAGCAUCCCAGAACUUAUAUACAUUCUAGUUAAAGCCGAUUGUGUGUACUCAUCAAUCACAAGCCCGUUCUUUUCCAUCUCCUGUAAAAGAGCUUCCGCUUUUCCAACCAUUUUCCUAAUAGAAUAAGCAUAUAAAAGUGUUCGGUAGCUCACAAUAUCAGGUAUAAGACCAUCUUCUUUCAUCCUUAAAAAGUAACUUUCUGCUGUGUCGAUGUCGUCAUUUUUCAGGAAAAGCGAGACGAGAAUGUUAUAAGUUCUUGUAUCGGGAAGGCAACGAAGCUCCUCCAUCAUCAUCAUUAAUGAAUGAACUUCUUCUAACCGACCAUGGCUACCACAUAUGUGAAUCAUCGUGUUGAAUGUCACUACGUCCGGAAAAAUCCCUUCUCUUAACAUCUGGGAAAAUUUCUCGGAAGCCUUUUCGAGCUGUCCUGCUUUUCCAUACGUAUCAAUCAAAGUAUUAUACGUAUACAAGCUAUAAGUUUUCCGCCUUUCAGGACCAUCAGUUGUAUCCAGAGACCACCUCUUGAAGAAAAGCUCCGCCUUUUUAAACUCACCAGCUUUCUUAUAAGCUUGAAGAAUAACGCUCAUCGUCACCUCAUCAGGCUCUACUCCUUUCUUAUACAUAUGACCGAGCCACACUAGAGUUUCAUUAUUCAGACCCCCUUUGCAGCAAGCGUUGAUCAACGUGCCGUACGUGGCAUUCGACGGGAGUAUUCCGUUUGAUUGCAUCUCACUCCAUAGGUCGAAAACAAGAUCCCACUUUUGAGCUCUUCCGAGGAUGGUGAGCAACACAUUGUAGUGGAUCACAUUGAUUUCGUAGCAUCCCUUUCUCUUGAACCAAUCAAAAAUCUCGAUCGCCCUCCUCCAAUCGGACUGCUCCUUGAGGAUUAUGGUCCUCUCCUUAUUGCUGAGGCCACCUUCCCACGGCUUCAGGGCCUCGUCGAGGUCUCGAACAGAUUCCAAUGCUCUCAGCAUAGCAGGAAUGCAUCCACCAUAGGAAGCCCACUUGUUCAAACGCUUAUUUUCGACCUCUCGCUCCGGGACAGUGCAUCUAAUCUUCGAUUCGGCCGAUGCUCGAAUCAAAUUUCGCAGGAAAAUCCGAUUUUGAGCUUUAAAACAACAUCUGGGCUUUGGAAAUGCAAAUUUUGCGGUCCCCGAAAUGAUGAAAUCGGUUGGUUUUGGAGAAAUUAGGCUUCGGAAGCAAUCAGAUGAGCUCAGCAUAUCAAAAAAAUGAGUGUUCUGAAUCAAAUUCUGAGCGAAUUAAUUUCUUCAAUCGAAGCAAAAUGUGUGGUGAGAAGAUAGGGUUUUGCCUUACUAAGAUAAGGGAUUUGGAUUCAGUUUGAACCGAGAAAUCUACAGGUAGAUAAUGGAGAGAAAGAGAGGCUACUUACAAUUUCUCCGCUUCUAUUUUUGCGUCGUCGAAGAACACCAAAAGAUCUUAAACCCCCUCCCGCCCCUUCCCGGAAACCCUUCCCUCCUGUUCCAGUGCUGUCUCGGGCAUUAUCCGGAUGAAAGUUAUUCGUGCACUCGGUGCACCGUACAUCCCAUGCACCGCGAAGAUGUGAGGUACGGUGUAUAAAAUGUACGGAUACACUUGGUACAGCGAAAUUUCGCGAACUCGCGGGUCCCAAAUGCGAGGAAUUCUGCACUGUCGCACUUGCACCACGUCAUCAAUAACAAGCCAAUCACAUUCCUUCCUUUCAAACAAAAAUACAAUAAAAAUACUUUUUUACAAUCAUGAUAGGACAUAUAUUCUUAAAAGCAUUAAUUUGAUUGGUUUGUUACGCCACGUCACUAAUAUACCCGUUGCAUUCUAAAAUUUUUCCCCCAAAUGCGGCCUCCCUUGACGACUUUUUUAUAAAAUAACUCUGUGAAAAUUUAAAAUUUACAAAAUGAUCCUGUCAAAAUUUUAUUUGGAAAAUUAACCCUCCUUUCGCCACGUCCAUGUCGAAAUUUUUUUUAAAGGCGGUGAAUCGUUUCCCUCUUUCUCCCACGUUUUCUUCUAUUUCUUUUAAAGACGGUAAAUCGUUUACCACAUUAAUUAAAAGGGUCAAUUUCAUUCGUGCCCCUCUAAACUUUAAAAAUAUCAUAGAUGCCUCUAUAAAUUUGAUUAUAUCACAAAUACCCCUGCAAAUACUUAUUAUUUUUCAAAUAUACCCUUACCCUUACUAUUCAUCUCUUUAUAAAAUAACAAAAUAUUUAGAUUAUCAUAAAUAUGGUCAAAAUGUCCAUUUUGCCCUUAACUUCUAAAUUUUUUUACCAAAAUAUUUUAGCAUGAUAAUAUUUAUUUUAAAAUAUUAAAAUAAACUGUGUGGUUUGUAAAAUAAGAUACUAAAAUAAAAUACUUCAUAUUAUUUUUUAAAAAAUUUAAGAUGCCAAAGUACAGAAAUUUGUGCUAGUUCAAAUAACUUAGUUCACAUCAUGUAUAUAUAUUUAAGUUAUAUUUUGAAUAAACUGUUUAACCUUAUUUUAAUGAGUUAAUUGAUACUUUAAACAAUGUUUUGCUUAUUCUUUUUUCAAAUUUUUUGAUUUUUUGAUUUUUUUAGCUUAACUUGUCGGGAUUAUAUAUAUAUUUUUUAAUUGAUAAAAACUUAUCGCUAAAUAUAGGUUAUUUAUAAAUUUAAAAGAGUGUUUAUAAAAUUAUAAAUAAUUUUAUAAUCAAUUAAAUACUUUAAGAUGGUAAUGACAAUAGGGGCAAAGUUGGAGUUUUGUUUGUUCUUUAUUCAAAAUUGAUAAUAAAUUAGUGUAAAGGUUAUUUUUGAAAGUUUUUCUCUUUUAAAAGGUUAUUUACGAUAUUUUAAUUUUUAUAGGGACAUUCAUGAUAUUAGACUUAUUUGGAAGGGUAGUGAUGAAAUUUUCCCUAAUUAAAAUUAUGCGUGGAUUAUAUAGGAAAUAGAAAAAAACGAGAUUAUUAGAAUUAUAUAUGGAUCAUUAGAAUUUUUAUUUGAUUAUUAAGAUUGUAUGGAUAGAUAAAAUUAUAUGAAUAAAUUAUUAAGAUUUAAAGGUUGUUAAGAUUAUAUAUAAUUUGUUAAAAUUUUUAUAUGAUUGUUAGGAUUAUAUAUGAGAUAUAAAAAGAACAGUAAAUAAGUGAAAAGCGGUGAACGAUUCACCGCCUUUAAAAGAAAUUCUGACGUGGCGCCAACAUGACGAAAGAAUGAUUAGUUUUCCAAAUAAAAUUUUGAGAGAGAAUUAUUUCAUAAAUUUUAAAAUUUUAGAGGGUUGUUUUAUAAAAAAAUCCUCGUCACAAAUUCUUGUCCAAAAAGAGGUCUACACAGGGCUUAUUCAGAUCAGCAGGUACGCGCGGCUCAAACAAAUCCACACCCGAACCGGCAAUGCUUUCAAUUCGGUUAAUUUCUAGUUCAACCGGCCGAUUCAAAUCGGUCUAACCAGUUUCAAGAUUGUAGGUUCAUUUUUUAUACCACAACAAUAUACAACCGCACGAGACACUAAUAUUGUGAACAAUUGAAAAUUAAUUUAAUGAAACGGUAAAUAUUUUAUAAAUUGAUCAUGAGAACUUUGGCAACAUGCGACCAUGGCAUAGAGACUACUUAUCUUACUGUAGAAUUGCCAGUGUUGAGCCUAUUCAACUUCCCAGGGAAUUUACACCUCUCAAAUUAUUACAAGCAAACAAUGAAACUGGUUUCGAUAAUAAAGUACAAUGAGAAUGAUCGCCACCAAUCGCAAUACAACCAAAAUGGCUUCUAUUUACAGUACUUGUUGAACCAAACACCAAUGUUAAGAAAGCUUUCGAAGUCAGAUUGCGGCCUGCAGCAGAAGAAGAAUAGCGACAGAAUUUAGUGAACGAAGAUUACCAAAAAAGAUCACAUAUAUUGAUCAGCAAAUAGCAACUAACCUUUCGAUGCCGUGGACAUCCUCUGGGAAUACGAUCACUUUGACCUCAACUCCCCUCUCCCUCAGAGCCCUCGCAUACUGAAUCAUGGAAAAUAGAAGUUGAUAAACAAAACCGUUGAUUAAUGAAAUCAUAAGCAGGAGAUCAAACUUGUCUUUUCAACUUGGAAAUUGAUUUACCUAGCUUUGAUAGUUAAUCUUGUUUCUUUGUACGACUACUACGCACAAAGGGCUGAUUCGAUUAAUUGAAAUUUGUAUCCAUACAAGGAGAAAUUAUAUGCUAUUGCCUGAUACUGUACCUGUAGACCAUUAGAAACAGGAACCCGAAGAUCCUGUGCUCCCAGAAGGAAGAGGAUAGGUGCUUUAACCUGCACGCGUAGUAAAGAUUAGCAUGUAAAAGAUUGUCCAGGAAUUUUAUUUCUCAUAUGAUUAAAUGAUACAUCUAGUUCCAUAAAAAAUGAACAAUGAUCACAUGGAUGGCAUAGAGCUUUUACACAUGGCUCCAAAUCGGACUUCAACCCAAAUAACCCCAGUUUGUGCUCCGAUUUCUCAUAGCCAUAAUGGUAAACAAAACCAUACCUUUGAAAUGUGCGAAAUUGGUGACUUCUCGUAGAAAAGACGAAGAUGUUCAGCUGUAGGAGCCUCAGAGAAGUAAUUCUUUCCUUCUUUUCCACAAGUCUCAACAUAACACCAAUCAGGGAUAUCAGUAGUACCAACCAUUAGCGAUAGAUUACAAACUGGAUUUCGAGCAGCUGCGACCACAAACUUAUCUGGAGCCUGCAAUAUAGAUUCACAAACCAAAAUAAGAAAAAUAAGUCCAUGGAAAAUCAGUGAAGCUUAACAUGCAGAUGGAGUAUCUUUCAAACCAAACCUGGCCAACCAAAUGCGUGGUCAAAAAACCUCCAUGUGAACCUCCAAGAACAGCCACUUUAGAUGAAUCAAUGAGUCCUUUCUCGACAGCAUAGUCUAAAGCUGUAAGUACAUCCUGCACAUCCUGUAUACAAGAAAAAGACAAUAGAUGCGCAAAAUAAAGGCAGAUAUUAAUAACUACCUUAGAGCAUGAAAAGAAAGAAAAGGUAAGAACCUGAGAUCCAAUUUUUCCAGGAAGAGACUGCAGUGCUUCCUCUCCAAAACCCAAUGAUCCUCUAAAGGAGUCAUGCAUUAAACAAAACUAUAGUGAGAAGAAUUUGGCUAGCUUUUUAGACCUUUUCCUAGCUUCAGGCUUCUUUUUCGAAUAUAAUCAUGCUAUUCUUUAUGCUUCAAAGAAAUCAAACUUGUUGCACAAUAUACCAACUUUUCCACACAAUCCAGUACUAAUAACGUGUUCAACUUUGAUAAGUUAUUCAUACAACUCGACGUCAAUCAGGAAACAAACUUUGUAAUUUAAUGCUGAAAGCCUGUAAUGGGCCAUAGCAUUUAUGACCCAAAUGCACAGCAAAAGUGGCCAAGCAAGCAGAGUAGAAAUGGUUCGAAGUUAAGUUUUCCCAUAGAAAAAGAUAUUCCAGAUCAAAACAUUGAAUUCUGUAUCCACCAAUAAUACAUGAGCAACUUAUCUAAAUCAAUAAAAAUACAUACAAGUAGAUGCUUACCUAUAAUUUACAAUAAGCAAGUUGUAUCCAAGUGAAGAAAGAAAUGCCGACGAUUUUAAAUAGCUUGUUUCAAAAACUGAAUGUGGGCCACCGUGAAGGAUCACAAUUGUUGGACUACUAGAACUGUCCUUGCAUGAUACAAAAAUAGCCUCAAUUGGAGCCUUAGCACCUGCAUGAUUGUGAAUAUGGAAAUAUAUUACUAGAAGGUUGAUUAGAACUGAAAAAAUUAUAGGACUACAUUAAGCACUUAUCAUCAAAAUCAAUUGGCAUUGUAAUAUGUAAUUGCAUGAUAAAAAAACAGUUGUUAGGAUUAGUUUCAAAGUUGCAUGCUGCACCAUAUGUUUGGCCCAUAUUUAUGAGGCACUUGUAAAAUAAUAAUUUGGUUUACUAUUCCCCCCCCCCAAAAAAAUCUAGGUUUGUAUGUAAAUGAAAGCAUAAAUCUUUCUCUUUAAUAGAGCAACAUAAAUCACAAUGCUGGAUAUGACUUGAGAAUCUAACACGAAAGAUCCUAAGAAUGUAACUCAUUCAAUCCAGUGGGGAGAGAGAGAGAGAGAGAGAUUCGUUUUGUCCCCUUAUGACAAAGGGUCAUGCACAAACAUAUAUACAUCAGUUAGACAAAUAACAGCAUAAACACAUGGACAUGACCUUUCAAAAGCUUCAUGCCCCAAGGAAAACAAUAAAGCACGUAUUAAGUUGUUCCUUUAUAUUACCUUUUGGAAGGUCAGAAGAAGGAUUUCUUACUGGAAUCUUCAGAAUACUGAAUAUGCGCUCCGACAGCACAGAUCGGACCUGUCCAAUAGCAAAAUUUCAGUGAUAUAGUAAAACUGCACAAAAUUUGAAUAGACAUAAUAUGGGGGAAAAAAUGAAUAGUUCUUAACAAUGUUGAGGCAACCUUCUCAGAGUACUUCAAAAAUGGACUUGAAACAUCCAUCCAAGUCCAUGUGUUUUUCUCUGCUUGGGACGAGUGAUACCCAUACUUGAUUUGAGGAGGGUCUAUGGGACUGCUGGACACUUGAAAAUAAAAGAAAAAUCAAAUUUGUUAGGGACUUUUACAAAUAUACCCAGCAAAAUCAUUUAUUUACAUAUGUACAAGUGAUUGAAGGGUGUACAUCAAAGUUCAGAUUUUGCAGGAAUAUAUGUUAAAUUACUCAGAUUUUGCAGGAAAAUUAUAUAGAAUAAUUCCCACACACCCCAAAUGUAAAUAUAUAUGUAAAUGUCUCAUUUUAUAAACCGAAGCUAACUAGACAGCUUUAGAGGAACAGGAUUACCGGCAAGAAUAUUAUCUCCAUCAAGUGCAAGAAUAUUCCAUGAGUAAUUUGAGUCCUCUGGACUGACUCUUGAAACUUUGCAACUGUAGAAGAAAUAACAUAUUACUAAUUUAAAUAGAACCACUGAACACCUGACUGAGAGAGGUACAAGAGCAACUGUUGUUUACCUUGAAACAUUUACAGAUAGUAUUACUUGGGUACUUCUCCAAGCAGAAGAUAGAACCAUUGUGCAUCCAUCAGAAAGCCAAGGAUCAGAGAGGAAGCCUGAACAGUAAAGUCCAGGAAAGCAACCAUCCUCGGGAGACAUCACAACCGGAACCUGAAUUCAUUAGGCAUCAACUAUUGCACAGGAUUUAUCAAGAAAAUUAAGAACUCGAGAUGUUGGAUAUGAUAAUGUUGGGCAUUUCUACAUGCAUCUCUGCAAAAUACCUAUUUAAACAUGUUACCCAGUAAAAUCAGAGUUUUCAGAUAUCUUCCCCGAAAGUGCAGUUUCUUACAGAUAUACCCCUAUUUUUAGUUGGUGGGUCAUCCAAUUUAUGUGGGCAAGUUGAUUUUCUAAUUGCAAGGAAGUUUUUAAAGAGGGCAUUUUUGCAAGUGUAAGGUAUGUGGCAUAUGGAAAAAAAUUUAAGUUUUCCAAUGCAAUGUAAUGAUUCAGGUAUUACAGCAAGAGUAAUAUAUUUGUACAUAGAUAAUGUUGUUAGGGUAGAUUUGUUAAUUUCUCUAGUGUUUGAGUUGUCCAGCGAAACCAAAAUUGUCAAGACGUCUAAAUCAUAUGGGGCAGUAACUGAGUUUUUAAAAGGAACCGUAAGCAUACCACAUCAGUAAUAUUCAUGUUCUGCUGUAGCUUCCCAUCAGUAGGCCAAUCGAUCUUAUGCAGCGAAUUAGUAGCUAAAUGCGCCCCACUAUCCACAGCACUUUUGGCAGAUAGGAAUACAAGAUAUUUUCCAUCUGGACUGUCAGAUGAUCAAUCAAAUCAUUUAGUUAAAGGCGAAGUAUAUAAUAUAGGUCAAAAUGUUAUCUUGUUACACUCUAAGUUUCCUAGCCCACUAGUCCUCUCGACUUUGGAAUCCACAAGACCAUCAAAAUUUCAAGGCUUAGAGAUAUGAACUCGAGAAUAUUCAAUCAUCAACAACUCACCACGAAGUUUCUACUGAGAGUACAGAUGAAUUCAAGUAGUUAAAAAAAAGGGAGUAAUGUAUAUUACCUAAAUACUGGAAAGAAAGCGCUACUUAAGCCAUGAGUCAACUUGACUGCAGCUGCAGAGUUGUCUAUUGUAUCACCACUGCACCAUUAUAAGAAAUCAAAGAUAUAAAAAUGGUAAAAGAUAAUGAAAAGAGGUUAAACAAAAUCUGUACAUAGAUAAAGUAAAUCAUAAGUAACAGAUCAAUAAAGCUGUCAACUACUAAUGAUAUCAUGAGAAUAGUUUUCAAGACCAACAUUAUACUCACCUUAAUGAUACUUUAUCAGUAUCUGAUUUUUUAAAAGGGUUGCAGACUGCAAAUAGGGAACAUGGCCUAUUGUAACAAUAUUUAAUUCCAAGUUUUCUUGGCGUAUUUUGGAAACCAUUCUCGGAGGACCAGCCAACAAAAACCAAGUAAUUAAGGCAUCCAUUUGAAGAUGAUGGAGCCCAAAUGACUUGUCCAACACUUAUUGAUCUUGAAACGCCUUCAGCAACUCGUACCUCCCCACUGUAGGCACAUGAAAGAGUGAAAGCUUUAAGUUUUAGCACUCAUCAGACGGCUUAUUAAAUAAUUUUUACACAUAAACAGAGGACAAGGCAAAGACACCUAGCAGUAUCGACAACAAACAAUGAAGGCUUCCUUUUUUUGGAGUAGGUUUCGCCCCAGUCCUCUUCCCAAUCCCCUCGACCUUUCCAGCUACCGCAGUCCUUCUCAGAAGAACCUUCCUUCUUGUAUCCUCCAUUUUCGAAAACAGGCGUUGGUUGAGGUGGCUCCUCAGCAACAUAUGCUAUUAGAGUUUCGUCAUGGUUCCAUGAAAUUCCCUCAAACCUAUAGAAAAGAUAGAAAAGAGUAGAAGACACAACGUAAUGCCUUAGGCAAAUAAAGUAUGUGGUAACUAGUAACUAGUAGAACAAUGAAGCGCAUUAUUCCCUUAAAGAUCUAUGCACAGGGAUUUACCAUCCAUCUACAUAUAAUGAUCCAUGGAUAGAUUGUGGAAUAUGUAUUUCCCUCUCUAAGUAAGACGGCCCCCAUAUUUCAAGCUUGGUAGGGGCAUCGUUCUCAGCAUUCCGCACAACUAGAAGCUUUGUGCCUGACGGCGACGGAACUACUGCAGAUGUUCCAGUCAUUUCAAUAGGAAAGGGAGACCACUCGAAGUCUACAGAAUCUUUACUAGGUUUCGAAAUAUGAGAAGACAGAACAAACUUCUUCCUUUUAUUAGCAAAGAGGUUCGAUUGGCUAAUAGAAAACAUCGCCCUGGAAUUAUUUGCUGCAAUCAAACAUUCGAACGGGUGAAAUAGCUGAAUUAGAUGUACAAGGACAUGGAUGAGCUAGAAGAAUGAAGGAUCAUAAGAUCUCGAAACAAUAACACAGUAGUAAUAGCAAAGGUCAAAUUUUGAUACCUUUGUCAGACGUAAAAACCCACGCCUUGUCGAUACUGGGCAUAUUAGUAAAUUCUUGCAGCAAUUUCGAUUGAGAGGCGUACUCUUCAGACGUCGCUUCAUCGAUUGCAACAGGCUUUUCUUUCUCUAACACAGAUUCAGAGGCUUGCAUACCUGCUGAGAGGGAUGAUAUCCAGCGAAUGCUAAGGAAUGAGAAAAAACAACUCUGUGUAAGGAGAAGCUUAGCUCGAAAAGGAGAUCCAAAUCAUUAACUAAGGAAGAAAGGAAACCUUUUGGGCUAUUAUUUUACUAAUAUCAGUUGUUCCUUUUGCUUAUUUUGUUCAUCUGGGACAAAGUUGGACACCUAAUUAUGUUGUCAUCUUCCUCUUUAGUCCACUUAAAGAUUAUAUUUUGACUGGUUGCAUGAACCUAAACUAUGCAUGAACCUUAACUUUUUGACAACAAUAACACCCAAAGAGAGUUGAUUAAGUCAAACAAACCACAGAAAAGAGGAAGGAACUACAAUACACAACUAGAGUUACUAAAAUUACAACUACUACAUAGAUAAAUGCACCAAAAAAAUACAAAAAAUAAACACAAAAAAACACUCCAAAUCUCUAAAUUUUUGAUACAAAAACAAAUAGCGAUACCAGGGAACUAAUUAAUUCGACAUGGAUUGAGAAGGUGAGAAGGGGAAAGAAGAGUGAGAUCAUCUUACCUGCGUGAGUGGAGUAAUCUAAUGAGAGGAGGAGACGAAGCGAUUGAGAAUAAGGGACGAGGGAAUGCGUGAGGGAGAGGGAGGCCGCACAGAACCGAAGAAGCGGUCGCAUAAGCCAUGGCUCUGCUUCCAAUCUCGAGUAUAUACGGCAUUUGGAGCGUGAUUGGUGCGUCCCCACAGACGCAGAUAGGGCUUAUAAUGGGCCGUAUCUAGGCCUAAGGCAUAAUUGUGGCCCAGUUAAUCUAAAUAGUAGGCCGGGCCCUAUUUGUUAUUAGGGGAAUUUGCAAAUAUUUCAAAAAGAUGUUUUCUAAGGCAAACGAAACGAUCGCUUUCAAAAAGAAAAUUUCAAAUUCAAACUGAAAACGAAAAUUUCAAUUUUGAUAGUCUCAAUUAACAGAGAAGGAUAAAUUUCUAAACUUUCAGAAUUUGAAGGGUAGAUACAUAACUUACAAUACUUUGUAGGUUUAAAUAGAACGCAAUGUUUAUUGCACCAUAUCGAAUGCUAUCAAGAUCAAUACAAAGAAGCAUGUUUAUUGCACCAUAUCAAAUGCUAUCAAGAUCAAUACAAAGAAGCACUUUAAAUUAGCUUCCAUAUAUAAUUUUGAAACAAAUAUUACAGAGAAGUUUCUAAAUGAACUCAAUAGGGUUACAUGGAUCAAAAGGGGGGAAAAAUUUCCAUCCAAGGAUUAGCAUUUUGCGUGUCUAAGCUACCAAAAAUCAUUACAAGAACAGCGCCCGUCUCGAAAAUGGUGGAACCGACUCCGAUCUCUGACCACAAUCUCCCGGUUCCAAAUUUUGGAUAUCAACUUGAUUGCGGAGUGGCAAUCUUCGCAUACCCUCAAGUUCUUGAUGACGUGAAUAGGCAAAUUAGGCGGUAAGCUGAUGAGCCCGUAAGCAAUAGCCAUCUUCUCACUGUGAGCAAACAAUGCCUGCUCCUUUUCCUCGUCAUCUAAAUCCACUGAGAUUUGUUGAAUUAUCGGCAAGUAUCCCGCUAGCUUCAAUCUCUUAGCAAUCUCAUUCAACAUCUUUUGAACUUCGGUAAUUUGUAGGUGUGAUUGAUCGCCAGCAACAAAUUUAUGUACUUGGCCUGCCACUGUAAUGGAACUAUAACCUGCAGUUUUUCUCACACCUCUCUCUUCCAUUAAUUUCCGUAUCUUAGAAGCAUCAGCCCACCUUCUCGAAUCUACAUAUAUAUUAUACAACUGUACAUAUACCGCAUCUUCAUUAGGCUCCAGCUUAAGGAGGUUUUCUGCAGCCUUCUCAGCUAGUUCCAUAUCCUUGUACACUCUACAGGCACUUAACAUGGAGGCCCAUAUUACCGCAUUAGGUUCUACCGGCAUGGUUUCUAUUAGACCAAUUGCCUCUUUCAAAUGCCCACUGCGACCGAGUAAGUCUAUUAUACACCCAUAAUGCUCGAUCUCAGGCUCCAAUUUAUACAAAGAUCUCAUCUCUUCAAAAUACGACCGACCCUCCUUUAAUAAGCCAGAAUGGCUGCACGCAGUCAAAACACUAAGGUAGGCAACCGAAUUGGGUCUGAUCCCCUCUUUCUUCAUCAAAUCAAAAUACUCCAAUGCAAGUUUUCCCAUUCCAUUCAGUGCGAGGCCUGCAAUGGUCGCACCCCAAGUUCGCACAUCCCUUUCCUCCAUCCUUUGAAAAACAAGCAUUGCUUGUUCUGUGUUCCCGCACUUCAUAUACAUGUCUACCAAUGCGGUGCCAAGAUAAACAUCCCACUGCACUAACUUCUCCUCAAUGCAAGCAUGUAAAGCCUUGCCUUGAUCUAAUGCACCCAAGCUUGCACAAGCGGUGAGCAAGCCUACUAUCGUGAAAUUAUCAGGCCGUAAACCAGAUUCGCGCAGCUUAGCGAACAAGAGCAGCGCAUCCUUAAGCCUACCAGUAUGAAUAUACCCAGUGAUCAUCGAGUUGAAUGAGAUGACAUCGCAAACGCCCAUUUGAUCAAAGAGAGAUCGAGCUCUAUCUAUGUCACCGAUUUUGCAGUAUCCAUCAAUCAUGGCAUUCCAAGCCUGAAGAACCUUGCGGCCCAUUGAAUCAAAGCAUUCUUGAGCACAGUUGACAUCCCCACAUUUUGAGUACAUGUCGAUAAGAGCGACUACAAGAUUGUUAUUGAUAAUGAUACCUUCCUUUUGGAUAAAAGAGUGAAUCCAUUUUCCUAAUUCUAAAUCCUUCAACUGAGCACACGCCGAUAGCACCACGACGACUGUAACAGUAUCUGCUUUUACAUUAUCAGACAACAUCUUCGUAAAAAGCUCAAUAGCUUCUUCAGCCCUAUCGGCCUGAGCAUAGCCCGCAAUCAAGCUGGUCCACGAAACCACAUUUCUCACUGGAGUUUCAUCGAACAACUUGCGGGCAUCGUUCAAAAACCCCAAUUUGGCCAUUCCACUGAUCAUCGUCGUCCACGAGACCACAUCUCUUCUACUAAUCCUCUGAAAAGCUCUUCUCGCAUCACCAACCCGCCCCAAUUCCAUAUACAUGUGGAUCAAAGAGCUCACCGCAUAAGCAUCGGACUCCGGAAACAGCUUAACGAACAAACCGUGCACCAUACGCCCUUCAAAAGCCGACGAAGAGACACCGCACGAUUUGAAUAAGAAUUGAAACGUAUACGAAUCAGGGGCUAUACCUCUUCGAUGCAUUUGGUCGUACAAGCGAAUGGAUUCUCUGGGAGCGCCAUUGCGAGAGCACGCGCGAAUGACGGUGUUCCAUAGAAAGGUGCAAGGGGAGGGGAUUUGGGCGAAUAAUUGUAGGGCGUAGGAAAGAUUGGGUGGUUGUAGGGAGUCGACGAUGGAUUUGAAGAGAUGGGUUGUUGCGGGAGGGGAGAGGAGAGAGCCCGAGACCACCAUUAGCGCGUGCAGUUGUGUGGAUUGCUUGAGAGAGGAGGGGGUUAGCCAUGGGAGGAGCUUGGAGAGCGUGGGAGAGGAGAGCAUUCAACGGGGUGAAGAGCUGUUUCGCUUCUCUUCGAAAUCGAUACCUCGAUCUGGGGAAGGACAUAGAAACACUUCGCAAGCUAAAGUCGGUGACGUAGAACCACAAAUUGGCGGAUUCGACUCAAGUCGGUACCGAAACACUAAAACCGCCGGUUUCACAUGAUCCCGGUACCGCGGAACUUAACCAUGGAAUGCAUCUUUGACGUGUACGUAGACAAGCUCUUCAUUAAUUAUGUUUUAUAAUGUAUCUUGUCCAAUUCAAGGUUAAUCUGAGUUAUUCAACUAUUUCGUAUGAUCCUCUAUUUACACUUGAUUAGUCAAUUAGUUGUGCUAAGCGCCUUCAAUUGUAAUAAGAAUUGCGCUCUUUGGUUCAUUUAUAAAUUAUAAGAAUAUUCUUAAAUGGUCUUCAAAGAACUCUACCCUUUUUCGCCCGCAACAAUGCUGGAGAACAACUUUAGUCAGUAUAUAGCUACAUUGCUCAUAUGAGAUGAUCUGUAUUGUGCAAUAAUAACAGUGUUCCAUGUGAAGGAUUGAACAACUAGUUGACACCAAGCCCCGCAGAUAGUAUACAUAUUAUUUUUUUUGAUUAAACAAGGGUAUAUCCUAUUUUAACAAAGUCAGAACAGAGUGUACAGGAGCAGUCUAGUAAAGCGAAAAAACAGAACGGCAAGAACAGCAUGGGUUGAUCGCAAUCAAGAUCUAGGAGCAGGAACCCAGAAACAAAAAAACCAAAAACCAAAAUCAAAAACAAAAAAAAAAGCCCCAAAAAACGCACACUCCUAGAUGUUGUCCGUGUCCCCGCUUUCCAUGGGUCUAGUAUACAUAUUAUUUUUCACUAACAAUUAAUUAAGGUAAUGCGGCCUUCAAGGAGCUUACAAAGGUCUCCACAUUCUUUAGUAUCUCAUUAGAGGAUUUGCCUUCACCGAUAAGGCGCACGAUGGCACUGCCCACGAUUACACCAUCAGCUCCCCAACUUGCCACCUUCAAUAUAACCUUAGUUUAUACAUUGAGUAAAAAAAAUUCUAACGCGCAGCUGAUUAAUACGUUCUGUGAAUUUAAAUGACCAACCUUUUUGACGUGCUCCGGAUUGGAUAUGCCAAAGCCAACGGCAACAGGAUUUGCUGUAAUCUGCAGGAAAUGGAAAUAAGUAAUACAUGCAUCAUAAUCAUCAGUCGUACAGAUAUCUUUUUUAUCUUUUUUUUUGGUGUUUUUUUUUUAAAAAUUAAUCUUUCACAACUCUUCCAUUAAGGAAACAUACAUACCCCUUUUAUUUCCUUUAGAAGAAGCUCUACUUGUGGAUUUACAGUUGCGCGAUCACCCGUUACUCCGACAGAGCUCACCUAUUUUAAGCAAAUCAAGAUUAGUUGCAUAGUGUAACACUAUAACAAAUUCUGAAGAGAACAAAGUUAUAUUAAAAAACUUACAAGAUACACGAAACCUUGGGAAGCAUCAACAAUGGCUUCCAUUUGACGCCUCGGAGUGACAGGUGUAGUAAGUAGUACCUACAAUGCGAAAAAGGAAUUACUCCUCAGUUUCAGCAUAGGAAAUAGUCAAAUACUAUCUUAAAUUUAUUGUUUCUGAUUUUAUUCUUACAGUUCAGAAAAGGAAAACAUAUUAAUCUAAAGCAUACCAGUUGGACUUCAUUUUCUGCGGCAGCUUGUUUCAACCUUGCAUUGUCAUCAAAGGAAAGAUCUGGGACCAAAAGGCCUGCAAAUAGUUGCAUCUUAUUUGCCGAAUUUGCGAGCAUAAACUUGGAGAGCAGCAAAUACUAAUUUAGAGAUUGUUGACUCUUAAUAGCUGGAAACGUUUUAGCCAUAAGACAUGCUUCUGAUAACUUAAAAUUCGUGGAAAAAAAAAAUUCUGAUCUUAGGCACAUGAAUACAAAUGCAUCUUAUUUGCGGAGUUUGUUAUUAAACUAAACACUCAAAAGAGUGUAAUCAAUGCUAAGGGAAAACUUCUCAGUAUGGAAGGAUCGGACGCAACCGACGACAUCACGGGCGACGUCCGACGUCUUUGGGCCGGAACUACUGAAAUCCCAGUGGACUCGUUGAGAACACAAGGCUUGACCCUCCUAGCUGAGAUCUAGUGGGUGGUUUGGACGGAUAGAAAUAACUCUGUUUUUCGAGAAAAGUCCGCCAGCGCUAUCCGGUCCCUAGAACGUGUUAAACUACUGGUCAGCAAUUGGACCACUAUGCUCUGACAUCCCACUUGUACAUCUUUCCCUCUUUCUUCUCUUACUUUACCUCUUCUUUUUGCCUUUUAUUUUGUACCUUUUAGACGGUUCCUCGGAGGCCUAAGCUGCUCCAACUUGCAUGCUCAGUUCAUUUAACUUAAUGAAUAAAGCAGGUAGCUUACUAUCUAUUUCUCAAAAAAAAAAAAAAAAAAAAAAAACUAAGGGAAAAGAAAAUUACCAUGUAUACCAGCAUCUUUUAUGGCAGAAAGAGAACUUUCAAUGCCAUAUUCAAAUACAGGAGUAUGAUAUGAAAAUAGCACUAUUGGACAAGAUAAAUGAGGAACCACCUGCAACGGUGUGACAAUUACGAAGAUAAAAUUAUUGAAGUUUCAUAUACUUUGAAGAGAAAUAUAUGAGUUAUGUAAAACUGUUUUUCACGACUUUAAUUAUUUUCCAAAUCUUUACCUCCUUUAGCAUGGAAAGAAUUGCGUCCAGUGUGAUUCCAUUCGAAAGAGCUUUAUUGUAAAAGUUACAUGAAAAAUACUUUACUAUCAAAAAUUUCGACUAUCUAAUUUUUUUGUGUGUCGGAUAUAUAAAUUAUUAUAUUUAAAAAAAAAAAAAAAAGAAUAGUGCACUCAAAUAGAAAAUAUAAGUGUUACACGAAUUUCUUCUCUCAUUUUAUAAAAUUACUAGGAUUUUUCUGGAAGUAUGUGAGUUUUAGUGCAUGUACGAUAUAGAUUACAAAAUAAGUGGUUAAAAAUUGUUUUUCUUUUCUUUGAAGCUGAAGCAAGAUAUUAAAGAUUUGUCGUAAGGGAACGAAAUUAAAAAAUAAAAGAUCAAAAAAAGAGACCUUGAUCACAGGACCAUCUAAUGGGGCAUCAAAGAAGGGGACACCCAAUUCAAUCACAUCGGCGCCACAGCGAUCGAGAAGCUGCAAAAUUUUUGAAGUCGUGGCCAAAUCCGGAUCUCCAGCAGUUACAUAAGGUAUCAAAGCAGCCUAAAAUUAUAAAUUUGGCAAUGAUUAUUACUCAAUAAUAAUGUCAAAAUGAAUAAAACAGUGUAUAACUUGGUUCAAAAAUCUAAGGCCCGAGGCUUUAAAAGUAACAGCAAAAGAAAAAUAAUGUUAAAAAAAUUAUAAAUUUGGAUCCUAGAUGCUCGAAAUAGAUUAAUUUGUGUUUAAUAGCGGUAACCAUUAAUUUAUUCAUAUUUCAUCGUCAAAGCAAAAUAAAAUUAUAAAGACCUCUAUACUUUCAAAAGCACUCAACUCAACUCAAAUUAAUUCAGUUAGAUUAUUAUACAUGCAGAAAAUCUCUUUUUUAGUUGAAAAAAAAGUAUUUUUCGGAUCCUCGUAAAACAGCUCGGAAAAGUAUUUUUCGGUUGAAAAAUUAAUUUCCCAUUGUUUGGUUGUCUGUAAAAAAUUUGUUUAGAAAAUUUAUUUUACAAAUUUUCAAAAAACGAGCCCUUUUCGUUUUCCACUAGCGUCAGGCGGAAAACGAAAACCUCCCGCGUUGAAAAUUGCGGCGCACGAGUUAUUAGCACACGUCCACGAGGUGAACUUUCCCUCGUGGACGCGUGAGAGAGAGCCCACGAGGGACCGGACCCGUGGACUCUUCUCUCAUUCAUUAUGUGUGUGUUAAUAUAUAUAUAUAUAUAUAUAUAUAUAUAAUAUAUAUAUAUAUAUAUAUAUAUUAAUAUAUAUAUAUAUAUAUAAUAUUUUAUUUUUAUAUAAAUAUAUUACUAUAUAAUAUUAUAUUCUAAUAUUAUUUAUAAAUAUAUAGUGAAUUUUUUAUAGUACUAAAUAUAAUAUACUAUUAUGUAUUAUAUAUACUUAUUGUAUUAUAUAUUCUAAAUUUAUUUACUUAUAAAAACCUAUAAUAAUAAUAUAUAUAGUAUAAUAAUUAUUGUAUAUCAAUAAUAUAUAAUAUAUUAUAAUAAUAAAGGAAUAUAUAAUAGUUUCUAUGUGCUUUUCAAUCCUUUUUCGAUCAUUAUAUAUUAUAUAUAUAUAUAUAUAUAUAAUAUAAAUAUAUAUAUAUAUAUAUAUAUAUAUAUAUAUAUAUAUAUAUAUAUAUAUAUAUUAGUUAUAAAUAUAUAUUAUUUUUUAUAUAUCAUUUAUUUUUAUAUAGAAAUAUUAUUAUAUAAUAUUUUAUUUCUAAAUUUGUAAUUAUUUAUUAAUAUUUUUAAAUAUAUAACUCUUAUAUAUUAUGUAAUAUAUUUAUUAUAAUUUUAAAUAUAUUUAAUCUAUAUAUAAAAAUUAUAAUAAUAAUAUAUAGUAUAUUAAUUAUUAUAUAAUAAUAAUAUAUAUAAUAAAAAAUAUAUUAAACCGGUUUUUAUCUAUUUUUCUUUCCCUUUCAACCAAACAACCAUUAUAGAAAACCAUUUUUCUCUUUCUACAAACCAAACACUAAACUACGUAAAAAAAAUUUUCCACCGAAAAUUUGUUUCCACCGAAAUUUUUUUUUUCCAAUUUUACGUCGAACCAAACAGCCCCUAAGAGCAUGUUUGGUUGGUUGUAAAAGUAGCUUGAAAACACUUUUCAGCUUGAAAAAAAAAUUUUCCAUCUGUUUGAUUUGAUGUAAUUUUUUUUUUUUCUGUAAAAUAAUUUUACAGAUUCUGGCAAAAUACGCGGCGUACGAGUGCAGCCGUGGAAUUUUCACGGGGUCCACGAGUGAGCAUGCUCACUCGUGGACCGCGUGAGUUGCCAAACGCAAGGAGCCUACACCGCUCCUUGUUAUAUAAUACAUGUGUAUAAUUUAAUAAAAUACUAAAUAUACAUUAUAUAUUCUAAUAUAAUAACAGUAAAAUUUAUUGCAUAAAAAUUAAAUAUAUUUCUUAGUGACAUAUUAUUUUAUUUAUAAUAAAUUAUAAUGUUGUAAUAAUGUGUAAAUUUAAAUAAAUAUCAAAUUAUAUACAUCUAAUUUUUUAAAUAACUAAAUAAUAAGAGAAAAAUAUAAAAUACGUUUUUUAUUUAAUUUUUCUACAAACCAAAUAAGUAAGUCCGAAAAUUGUUUUUCUUUUCCUACAAACCAAAUACUAAAUAACGUAAAAUUUUUUUUCCACUAAAAAUUUUUUUUUACUGAAAAUUUUUUUUCGCAGUUUUACGUCAAACCAAACGGCCCCUAAAGUGGGGAGACAAAUUAAGCAUGCUUACUUUUCCUUGCUUUUUAAGCUCGGAGAAAGUCUCCGAAAUACCCCGCGAAUGAAACUUUGAAUCAAAGCCUGUGCUCUGAGCCAAUAUUGUUGGUUUUAAGGCCAAGUGAGGAAGAGAUUUGGUGUAGUAUUUUGCAUGGGAAAGGGAGAAGGAGCUUAAAGCCAUGGAUAAUAAUCUAGUACAAAUAAUUCUACGUACGAAGAUCCGAAAUUAAAACCGAGGCUCCAUCUCCCACCUCUUAGCCCGUGCCAAUUUAUAGAAGCCUUGCAUAAAAAGAUACUGAUGUCACACUGGAGAAGGACAUGCCCUUGCAGUCCGAGGACACCUUGUGCACAUGAUAAACAUGUUGCGCAAAUGCGACUGAGUUAUCAACCUCAGCUGGUCCUGCUGAUUAGCACCUAAUGAUGGUGCCACCACAUGAAAAGACCAGGCAAAAAUAACGUGGCGCUAAAUUUUGUUGCUAUCAUAUAGUUACUUAUUGUGGUGAUAAAAAAAUAGCCACCGAUUAGUUAACUAAAAGUGGCGACUAAUUUCGCUACUAAAUGAUUAUUUUAUUGCCAUUUUUUGGUUAUCUAGUAGCGAUAAGAAAUUAAAAUGGCCACUUAUUAAUUAACUUAAAGUGACGAUGCCAUUAAAUGAUUAUUUUACUGUCACUAAAUGGUUAUUUGUAAUAAUGAUAAAAAAAUAUUGCCACUAAUUAAUUAACUUAAAGUGAUAAUAUUAUUUUUGCCACUAAAUAACUAUUUUAUCGCCAUUAUUUGAUUACUUACAGUGGCGAUAAAAAAAAAUUACCAUCAAUUAAUUAACUUUAAGUGACAUGCAAUACUCCUUUCGCCACUAAAUAACUAUGUUUUGGCCACUUUUUGGUUAUAUAUAGUGGCGAUAAAAAAUUACCACCUAUUUUUCGAUUGCUUUUGCACGAUUUUAUUUGAUUGAAGUCGAUUUUAGCAGAUGAUUUAUUGUGAAUUAGGCUUUAAGCAUAUAAUUUGUUGUUCCCUGAAGAGAUAAUUGUUGUUCUGUGAGCUAAUUGUUUUGGGAUAAGCAUCAGUAAGCAUGUAACUAUGGUGCAAGUUCGAAUCGAAUUUAAGAUUCCUCAUUUAACUUCUAUGCGUAUUUCUAAUUUAUUAUCAAUUUGUACUUUCGCACUUCAAAAACCCCCUAAGUGAUUUCGCACUUUCUCAUUUUAGUACAUUGUGGUUUAAAGUGUAUCAAUUUGCCCCAUGUGAUUUCAUUUUUCUCUUUUUAUUAUUAAUUUUAUUAUUAUAUUUUUCUUAAAUCAGUGAUAAAGUUAAAAUUAAAAGGUACUAAAGUAAAUAUUCGAUAAAUCUAUGUAGGUAUCUGAAGUUUUUUGUAUAUAAUUUAACGAAAUAUUGAAAAAAAACUGCCGAAAAGAUAAAAACAAAACCACAUGAGAGUUUUCUCACACAAAAAAAAAAAAAAAAAAAAAAAACCUACAGGGGAGCAAAUUGAUACAUUUUAAACCAUAUGGUACUAAAGUGAGAAAGUAUGAAACCACAGGGAGGUUUUGAAGUUUUCCCUAAAAUUUGCUUUGAAUAUAUUAAACCUAAAAGGAAUGUAAGUCUCAUCUUUACUAGUCUCAGGUACAUAGUCUCAUCUUUAUUAACUAUAUUUACGUACCAUACAUCAAACAAAAAUUUUAGCAAAAUGCUAAUUAUUUUUUUUAGAAAAAAAUAGCACGCUACCUGUUUCAUUUAUUAGAAAGAUGAACUUGACUAUAAAGAUGAUGAGGCACUCAGGGCCUCAAGAAAAUCGCGUCAGUCAACUUAAAAAAAAAGAAAAAAAGAAAAAAAAAGAAGACGUUACUUGAAUCUAGUACGGUAGGAGGAGUUCCCAAUAUUUUAACAACUGUGUAAACUUGUGGACAACCUGCACCGGAUCUAACUAGAUAUUUUUAAAGAUCAAGUCGUUCCUAACCAUCCUGCAAAAUGCUAAUUGUUGCUACGGUGAUUGAUUGAUAUAACCAAUAAAACGUCGUUCAAUAGUUUUUUUCUUUUUAGAGGUAAACGUCGUUCAAUAGUUACAUGCAUGUAUCACAUGUUUGAAAUUAGAGUGUUGCUAUUUACAUGUAUCAACGUAUUUGAAAAUAGAGUGUUGUUACUGGCCGUCUCUAGCGAAAGUGACAUAAGAGCUUGAUAGUUGGUAUUCAAGACCCAAGUUUGAAUUCUAAUUGAUUCAUAAUUCUAACUAAGUUUAUUUCUAAUUGAAAUAAACAAAACAAAUAACAUACUACCUUUCUCUCAAAAAAAAAAAAUAUAUAUAGAGUGUUGUUAUUUGUGCACCUCAAAUAAAGGUGUAUACCCUGCACUGUUUCAUUUAAAAGUUAAAAAUUAUUUUUUAUCUUGUCAGUUUUUUAUAAUAUUUAUUUAAAAAAAAAAAACUCUAGAACAAGCCAAUAUAAAAUCUACACUUGAAGAGAUUGCUCACCUAUAUUGUACACUUUUCCUAUUUGCUUGGGGGAAGAUAAAGUCAAAAAAAAAAAAAUCCUAAAUUGCAUUAAUAAUUCUCAAACUAAGCGAUAUUUUAGUUUUCAAACUACAAAACAAAAUUCCCAGUUAUUAUUGUAUAUUACAAAAACUGUGAUUGAUAAAACUACAACUAUUAAAACACCACGUCAUCGCCACAUAAGCAUUAAUAAAUUAUCAUUCAAUAAAUUUAAUUAGAUUAUAUAAUCUUGUUGUAAUAUUUUAUAAAAUUUAAAUAAAAAUUUUGAAAAAUAAAAAAUUGAGAAUUUAAAUAUCAUCUGCAUCGUAAUUUAAGAACUAUCGGUACAAUUUAACUAAAAAAUGAUAAUAUAGCUUUUAAUCUUUAGAACAUUAUUAUACUUAUAAAUUAUCAGUACUAUUAAAGUGUAUAUAUAUAUAUAUAUAUAUAUAUAUAUAUAUAUAUAUAUAUAUAUAUAGAGAGAGACUACUAUGCUAUCGGAAGCACGGAGCCUUCCGUGCUUCCAGCUCGUUUUCGAUGUUGCGACUUUCGAAUCGUCGAUCGGCUCCGUUAAACUUGAUCUAGAGUAUUUGAAGUACCUAGAAAAUAAAUUUUAUGAUUUUACGAUAUCAUUUGCCUAGUGAACGAAGGGGCUCAAAAUCAACGGCUGAAAAUAAAAAUCUUACAAAAUGUAAUAAUAUGACAUUAAAAUUUUAAAUCAAAGAUAUUGAUCUUGUUUUAUAUAGUAUAAAGAAUUUUCUAUCAAAAUUUCACGUGAUUUGGAUAUUUCUACACCGUUAAACUUGCAAACGGCUCACUACGGCCAUUGAAAUUUGUUGAUUUUGAGCCCAUUCGAUCACUAGGCAAAUGAUAUCGAAAAAUAAUAAAAUUUAUUUUCUAGGUACUUCAAAUACUCUAGAUCAAGUUUAACGGAGCCGAUCGACGAUUCGAAAGUCGCAACAUCGAAAACGAGCUGGAAGCACGGAAGGCUCCGUGCUUCCGAUAGCAUAGUAGCCUCACUAUAUAGAUAUAUAUAUAUAGAGUGAGGCUACUAUGCUAUCGGAAGCAUAGAGCCUUCCGUGCUUCCAGCUCAUUUUUGAUGUUGCGACUUUCGAAUCGUCGAUCGGCUCCGUUAAAUUUGAUCUAGAGUAUUUGAAGCAUCUAGAAAAUAAAUUAUACGAUUUUUCGAUAUUAUUUGCCGAGCAAACGAAGAGGCUCAAAAUGAACAGCUGAAAAUAAAAAUCUUACAAAACGUGAUAAUAUGACAUUAAAAUUUUAUAUCAAAGAUAUUGAUCUUGUUUUAGUAUAAAGAAUUUUCUAUCAAAAUUUCACGUGAUUUGGAUAUUUCUACACCGUUAAACUUGCAAACGGCUCAGUACGGCCAUUGAAAUUUGUUGAUUUUGAGCACAUUCGAUCAUUAGGCAAAUGAUAUCGUAAAAUUAUAAAAUUUAUUUUCUAAGUACUUCAUAUACUCUAGAUCAAGUUUAACAGAGCCAAUCGACGAUUCGAAAGUCGCAACAUCGAAAACGAGCUGGAAGCAUAGAAGGCUCCGUGCUUCCAAUAGAAUAGUAGCCUCACUAUAUAUAUAUGAGUAGGGCUAGAAUACUUGUAAAAGUAUCAUGGAGGUGAUACUUGUGUGUUUUUAGCCUUUGGAUAGAGAGAUGUGAGGUUGAGAUGAUGGAGGUAGGUAGUGGUAGGUGGUGGUAGGUGGAAUAGUGUUUAAUCCAAGGGCUAUUAAUAAUCAAAAAGUAGAUCAAAUGGCUUAAAACCUAAUAGCACCAUGAUGGUGAUACUUGUAAAAGUAUCAUAGCUCAACUCNNNNNNNNNNNNNNNNNNNNNNNNNNNNNNNNNNNNNNNNNNNNNNNNNNNNNNNNNNNNNNNNNNNNNNNNNNNNNNNNNNNNNNNNNNNNNNNNNNNNNNNNNNNNNNNNNNNNNNNNNNNNNNNNNNNNNNNNNNNNNNNNNNNNNNNNNNNNNNNNNNNNNNNNNNNNNNNNNNNNNNNNNNNNNNNNNNNNNNNNNNNNNNNNNNNNNNNNNNNNNNNNNNNNNNNNNNNNNNNNNNNNNNNNNNNNNNNNNNNNNNNNNNNNNNNNNNNNNNNNNNNNNNNNNNNNNNNNNNNNNNNNNNNNNNNNNNNNNNNNNNNNNNNNNNNNNNNNNNNNNNNNNNNNNNNNNNNNNNNNNNNNNNNNNNNNNNNNNNNNNNNNNNNNNNNNNNNNNNNNNNNNNNNNNNNNNNNNNNNNNNNNNNNNNNNNNNNNNNNNNNNNNNNNNNNNNNNNNNNNNNNNNNNNNNNNNNNNNNNNNNNNNNNNNNNNNNNNNNNNNNNNNNNNNNNNNNNNNNNNNNNNNNNNNNNNNNNNNNNNNNNNNNNNNNNNNNNNNNNNNNNNNNNNNNNNNNNNNNNNNNNNNNNNNNNNNNNNNNNNNNNNNNNNNNNNNNNNNNNNNNNNNNNNNNNNNNNNNNNNNNNNNNNNNNNNNNNNNNNNNNNNNNNNNNNNNNNNNNNNNNNNNNNNNNNNNNNNNNNNNNNNNNNNNNNNNNNNNNNNNNNNNNNNNNNNNNNNNNNNNNNNNNNNNNNNNNNNNNNNNNNNNNNNNNNNNNNNNNNNNNNNNNNNNNNNNNNNNNNNNNNNNNNNNNNNNNNNNNNNNNNNNNNNNNNNNNNNNNNNNNNNNNNNNNNNNNNNNNNNNNNNNNNNNNNNNNNNNNNNNNNNNNNNNNNNNNNNNNNNNNNNNNNNNNNNNNNNNNNNNNNNNNNNNNNNNNNNNNNNNNNNNNNNNNNNNNNNNNNNNNNNNNNNNNNNNNNNNNNNNNNNNNNNNNNNNNNNNNNNNNNNNNNNNNNNNNNNNNNNNNNNNNNNNNNNNNNNNNNNNNNNNNNNNNNNNNNNNNNNNNNNNNNNNNNNNNNNNNNNNNNNNNNNNNNNNNNNNNNNNNNNNNNNNNNNNNNNNNNNNNNNNNNNNNNNNNNNNNNNNNNNNNNNNNNNNNNNNNNNNNNNNNNNNNNNNNNNNNNNNNNNNNNNNNNNNNNNNNNNNNNNNNNNNNNNNNNNNNNNNNNNNNNNNNNNNNNNNNNNNNNNNNNNNNNNNNNNNNNNNNNNNNNNNNNNNNNNNNNNNNNNNNNNNNNNNNNNNNNNNNNNNNNNNNNNNNNNNNNNNNNNNNNNNNNNNNNNNNNNNNNNNNNNNNNNNNNNNNNNNNNNNNNNNNNNNNNNNNNNNNNNNNNNNNNNNNNNNNNNNNNNNNNNNNNNNNNNNNNNNNNNNNNNNNNNNNNNNNNNNNNNNNNNNNNNNNNNNNNNNNNNNNNNNNNNNNNNNNNNNNNNNNNNNNNNNNNNNNNNNNNNNNNNNNNNNNNNNNNNNNNNNNNNNNNNNNNNNNNNNNNNNNNNNNNNNNNNNNNNNNNNNNNNNNNNNNNNNNNNNNNNNNNNNNNNNNNNNNNNNNNNNNNNNNNNNNNNNNNNNNNNNNNNNNNNNNNNNNNNNNNNNNNNNNNNNNNNNNNNNNNNNNNNNNNNNNNNNNNNNNNNNNNNNNNNNNNNNNNNNNNNNNNNNNNNNNNNNNNNNNNNNNNNNNNNNNNNNNNNNNNNNNNNNNNNNNNNNNNNNNNNNNNNNNNNNNNNNNNNNNNNNNNNNNNNNNNNNNNNNNNNNNNNNNNNNNNNNNNNNNNNNNNNNNNNNNNNNNNNNNNNNNNNNNNNNNNNNNNNNNNNNNNNNNNNNNNNNNNNNNNNNNNNNNNNNNNNNNNNNNNNNNNNNNNNNNNNNNNNNNNNNNNNNNNNNNNNNNNNNNNNNNNNNNNNNNNNNNNNNNNNNNNNNNNNNNNNNNNNNNNNNNNNNNNNNNNNNNNNNNNNNNNNNNNNNNNNNNNNNNNNNNNNNNNNNNNNNNNNNNNNNNNNNNNNNNNNNNNNNNNNNNNNNNNNNNNNNNNNNNNNNNNNNNNNNNNNNNNNNNNNNNNNNNNNNNNNNNNNNNNNNNNNNNNNNNNNNNNNNNNNNNNNNNNNNNNNNNNNNNNNNNNNNNNNNNNNNNNNNNNNNNNNNNNNNNNNNNNNNNNNNNNNNNNNNNNNNNNNNNNNNNNNNNNNNNNNNNNNNNNNNNNNNNNNNNNNNNNNNNNNNNNNNNNNNNNNNNNNNNNNNNNNNNNNNNNNNNNNNNNNNNNNNNNNNNNNNNNNNNNNNNNNNNNNNNNNNNNNNNNNNNNNNNNNNNNNNNNNNNNNNNNNNNNNNNNNNNNNNNNNNNNNNNNNNNNNNNNNNNNNNNNNNNNNNNNNNNNNNNNNNNNNNNNNNNNNNUCUCUUAAUAUAUAUAUAUAUAUAUAUAUAUAUAUAUAUAUACUUUUAAUUAAUUACAUAUAAUUUUUUUAAAAAAAUACAACAGUUUAAAAUGCACCAGUACAUUUAUAAUUGAUAAUUCAAAGAGAAGUUAAAAUCAUUACAAAAAUCAAACUCACCGCGAUAGAAAGCGAGUAUAAAUAGCAUCAAUCACAGCCGUUGAAUGUCACUCCCUAGUCAUCAAAUCUAACGGUCUGAUCGAUCUCUACCAACCUGUAACCCUCCUCGCCCCCACGCCGCAUCAUAUGAUCGACGCCCCGCUCCGCUCCGUCGCUCGAUUCCUGGUCCGGUUCAUCAAAUCCAUCUCCCCCACCUCCCCCUCCUCCCUCCUCCAAACCCUAACCCUCCACUCCUUCCUCACCAAAUCCGGCCACCUCGUCUCCAACGACUACGUAUCGAGCUCUCUCACCUCCCUCUACGCUUCGUUGGGCCACAUUGCUAGCGCACGCCAAGUGUUCGAUGAAAUUCCUGAACCGGGCCUGGUCGCCCGAACCGCCAUGGCCCGGGCCUACCUCGCCUUGGACCGGCCCUUGGACGCCUUGCUUCUCUUCCGGUCCGCGAGGUCGUCCGGUUUUUUCUUGGACCCUGUGGCUCUCGCCACCGCCAUCGCUGCGUGCCGCCUCCUCGGCAGCCACAGCAGCUUAAAUUUAGCAAAAAUGGUUCAUGGGUUCAUAGUUACUAGUGGGACCAAAAUCGAUCCUUUCGUUAGCACCGAAUUGAUCAGAGUUUAUGGCGAGUGCAAUGAAGUAGUGCUCUCUCGUCGAGCGUUUGAUGCAAUGCCGGAGAGAACUACUGUGGCUUGGAAUGUAAUUAUACAUCAGUAUGUUAGAAAUGGUGAGAUAGAAGUUGCACAUGAGUUGUUCGUCGAAAUUGCGAAUAGAGAUGUCGUUUCGUGGAAUACAUUGAUAUCCGGGUAUUGUCAAGUCGGUAGGUGUCGAGAGGCGUUGUGUUUGUUUUAUGAGAUGGUAUCAUCUAAAUUGAAGCCUAAUGUGCUAACUUUGUGUACUGCUCUGUCGGCUUGUGCUAGCAUUGGUGCUUUGGAGACCGGGAUGUGGAUCCAUGCAUAUAUCGAGAGAAACCGUUUGAACUCCGAUUGCUCGUUGGACCAUUGCUUAAUUGACAUGUAUGCAAAGUGCGGGAACAUCGAGAAGGCAGUUCAAGUCUUUAAAAAGAUCCCCGUAAGGCGAGAUUUAUACUCAUGGACAUCAUUGAUUUGUGGGUUCGCAAUGCAUGGGCGGGCCAUCGAAGCUAUUCAAACAUUCUCUUCUAUGCAACAAGUUGGUGUUCGUCCUGACGACGUUACAUUAGUUGGCGUUCUAAAUGCCUGUGCACAUGGCGGUUUAGUAGAUGAAGGUUUGCGUUAUUUCUACUCAAUGGAGGAAGCAUACAAUCUCACACAUAAAAUCGAGCAUUGUGGUUGUAUGGUCGAUCUUUUGGGUCGUGUCGGUCGAUUAAAGGAGGCAUAUGAUCUCAUAUUGAGGAUGCCUAUAAAGCCCAAUGAAGUUAUAUGGGGUACAUUGCUAGGUGCUUGCAAGGUUCAUAACAAUGUGGAGCUCGGUGAGAUUGCGGCCGCCAAAGUGAUCGAAUUGGAUCCCUAUGAUCCGUGGGGUCGAGUUAUGUUGUCUAAUAUGUACGCAGAAGCUCGCGAUUGGAGUGGAGUGAUGAGGCAAAGGAAGGAGAUGAAAGGAGUGGGGACUAGCAAAACUCCUGGGUGCAGUUUGAUUGAGGUAAAUGGUGAGGUGCAUGAAUUUGUCGCGGCGGGGAGUCUGCACCCACAACAUGAAGAGAUUCUUGCUCUGUUAUGUAACAUUGAAACUCAGAUGCACAAAAUUGAUCCUUGGAAGUGUGAUUGAUGCAUUGUAAAGUGAAUCUUUGAGACCUCGCUCACCUAAUUUUAUAUCAAUUUUUGAUGAAUUCUUUUCUUUUGAACCUUGUUUGUAACUGCUGCAGUAAUCUUCAUGUUGGGAGUAUGUAAAACAACUGAUUUCUUUAAAACUUAAGCUUUCCAAAAAUGAUUGUUUAAUAUAUAAUUUCAGAAUUUCCAAUCAGUUGUAACUCUCAAUUGGUUAGAAUUGAUUUCUUUCUUUCUUUUUUUUCUUUUUUUUUGGGGGGGGGUCAAAGAAGAAAAACGAGGAACACAGGAGACACUACUUACUAUCAGGAUCACGUGAUUGUCACGUGCUCUUAUUGCAAAGGCCGAGAGGAUAAGGCAACGGCCAUCUUCCACUCGCGCCAUUCAAAAUUUAUUUCCUUUCUUUUUCAAAAUCUCAAUACAUCUCUCAUGCUUCGACCGUCCGAUUAAGAUCCAACUCUCCAAAAUAGAUCCGGUCGUCCGUAUACGAUCAUCACAAUUGUAUAAGACUCAUACCCAAAACUACCUUAAACUGGAACGCAGAGACCUAAACGGCUAAACCGUAGAUAACGAGAAAAAAUGCGGUUCACCUCCUCUCCUUCUCCGGCCAUCGCCGCCGCAUCCUCCUUACCUCCGGCGACUGCGGCGGCGGUGGCGGAGAAGCGGGCGAAAGCUAGGGUUAGGGUUCCGGCGAGAGAAACCCGCGCCGUAACCGUAGGUUUCAAUCUGUUGGGGCUCGUGCGAAGCUCGACACGGCUAAGGGCCGGAUUAACGGAGAUCGAGCCCGAUCUACAAGAAGACCCCAUCGACCGUUGGCGAACGAACGGCGUUAGCCCCGUUAGUUUUCUUAAUCCUCGUAUCUUUGUGUUCAUUGAGUUAAUUUGUGAUAAAAAUUGGAUUUUUGUGGUGAUUAAUGUGGAUCUGUGGAAUGAGUUUAGGAGGAUUUUAUAUACGGGGAGUAUGAUGGGCACCACACUUAUCAUGAAGGCCAUGAAGGUAUUAUUCCUCCUUUUCUUAUUAUUUCUAGAUUAGCCUACUAUGUUUCACUAAAUUUUGGUACUUUAUUUGGAUUAUUAUUGCCAGUUUAUAUUUAUAUUCAGUUUAAAAAUAGGAAAAAAAAAAAAAGAUAGCAUUUCUCGAAAUAGUGGCAGAGAUGAAACAGAAUAUUUACUUGUGUAGUGCAAAACAGCUAAGUUUAGUCGUUUAAUUACCUUCUCACAAAAGAAAAGGGUCAAUAUUUCGACUAUAUAUAUGUGGAUCACAUAUUGAGUAACUUUAGAUGCUACGAAAAUCGAAGCACCAUUUAAUCAAGGGUCCCACACCUUAGGCUAAUGAGUGUGGUCAAAGCACGUAUUCGGUUAAAUAGUUCCUACAUUUUUAUCUUUCCUUUUUCAAGUUCGUUCUACUUCCAACUCCCCUCGCACAUUGAUCACUAUCUUAUCUUUUAUGGUUUCUGGUUAAGAUCGCAUCUAUGUUUUUAUAUACAUUUGAGAAGGACUUAUGUUUUGAGGAUUUGGCUUUAUUGUCGAUUUCGCAUACUUACUGUGGAUGCAUAGAACUCUUUUACACAAUAGAUCAAGUGAGUCAAUAUUUCAUACUUCACUGAAAGGUAAAAAGGGCUUUUGGGAAUCCGUCGUGGAGGAGUAUCAAGCAGCAGAACCUCCAACAGGUUUUCAAGGUACGAAAUGAGGAUGAAGAUCAAUAAUCAUCUUUGUUUACAAUUGGCUUAUGCAUGUCUUUGUGCGUUAAGUUAAUGACUACGUGUCGCUUUUGUCUUGAUAAUUUAUUUGCAGCGCUCAUAUCUUGGUUGUUUCUUCCUGCAAUUGUUGCUGGUUUGGCUUACAACGUGCCGGUAUGAGAUGUCCUGCCAUACUUCAAAUUUUAGUUUGUUUCUGGUGACAAUCUCAUGGAUUUUAGAAUGUGAGUAUAGCAACUAUAAUUAAGACAAGAUGGAACUUCCCAUCCUGUUUUUAAUUAACUUACGUAGGAAAAUCUCGAAACAUGUAGCAUUCUUGUGUGUUUAAGGAAUAGUUCCUGUUACAUUGCUCCAGUCACUUUCGGCUCUCUUAAAUUCAUCUAUUUACAAGCAAAUGGCAUAUUUAUUUAUCUAUUCUGAAAAGCAAAAGCGCCUGCAAGUUAAAUUUGUUUUGUAGGCCAACAAAAUAUUCCCUUAACAGUGAAAACUCAAAAUUUUCAAAUGUUAAUUAAAGAUUACUGAGCUCAUUGUUUUUUUCCCCCGGUGAUAAGGAUUUGAUACUGGAUAACUAUUUUUAUGAGCAUUUUGAAUUAGAAUGCCAUUCCGCAGGGUGAAUACUUGUACAUUGGAGCAGGUGUCUUUAUCGUAAUAUUCUGUGCUAUUGAGAUGGGAAAGCCGGACAAGCCCCACAAUUUCGAGCCUCAAAUCUACAACAUGGAGAGGGGAGCUCGGGACAAGUUGAUCGCGGAUUAUAACUCCAUGGAUAUUUGGGAUUUCAAUGAGAAGUAUGGUGAGCUUUGGGACUUCACUGUGAAGAGGGAUGAUAUAGUUAAGUCAUAGUUCUCACUCUUAAAUAUGAACCAUGCGACUGAUAUAAUAAGUACUUGUCAGCAAGAUCGGAACACUCUGCACAUCAAAUCUCAGGAUCUUGUGAAAACAGAUGACAAAAAAUUAAUGGAUAUGAGAUCGCAAAGCAAUCAAAUUAGUUUCAGAUGGAACUCUGCGUGGUGAGUACUCAACAUCGGAACUCGUAAAACUGUCAAGUCUGAAGCUUGUUGUGAUGCUUAAUUAGUGUUUAAUUUAUUAUUUCACGUCUAUUUAGCUUUUUUAAGAACAGUUUAAGCUUUGUAACUAUAUGGAUUUUUCACCAUUUCUUGUGUUAUUCCUCAUUAUGUAACAGUGGACAAUAUUUGCCGCAACGAUUUGUUGUAUAAAGCAGCAGUUGCUCUACAUGAAUUCUAACAUGAGAAAUUAUUUUUCACCAUUUUACAUUGCCCGCUGAACGAUCUGUCCUUCAUUUCUUCUCAACUUUCAAUACUUGUCAUACCAAACAAAAAUUUGUGAAAACUACGAAAGGUUAAUGGAAGACGAAUGCUGGUGGCUGACGUAGUGGACCAGGCGUAGGGCCAAAAAAAAUCUCACUACUGUCUCUGAAAUGAGCUUCUCUAUGAGGUAUAACAGGACAAUCUUAGUGAGCAUGGUUUCUGCCUGUGUGCUUGAAAAUGGACCCACUCUUUGGCGAUAAUAAGUACACAAUAUCAUACAUUUGUUGCUAAAUAUGCCGAGCAUUUUUCUGCGCCAACUAAAUUUCAUGGAAAGGAUAAUGAAGAGAAGGUUUGAGGCGAAGAUCGUGGCUCAAAUGGUCUCUAACGCAUUAACCCAAUUUUCACAUAAAGCAGAAUCUAAACUGGAGCUGUAAAAGUCCUAUCAACAACAAAUUUUAAUUAACUAUUCAAAUCAGCGAUGAUUAUAAAGUGUAAGUGUAUUUUUAACUGUGUUACGCACAGAGGUUCGACUGGCCCGGUGCAGCUGGAUUUUAUUUUAAAACAUUAACGCAUACAUGCGGCCUAAGAUAUCUUGGAAAAAGAAAAAAAAACACUGCAGUUGUAAGCUGGAUGCAUGUGGCCCACGAACAUCUUAGAAAGGAAAAAGAUACCUACAGUUAAAAGCUUUAUUUUCGAAAGAUUCGAGAAAGUUGGCUCUUUUAUUACCCUUUUGGGGGCGGUUUUUUUUUUUUUUUUUUUUUUUUUUUUUUUNUGAAUCCCGCUUACUUACUAAUCAGAUCGAUCCUCAUGUAUAUAUUUUAUACGACGAAUAGUUUAUGAAAGUAGCUUCAGCUGCAAAGUGGACUACUCAUUUUAUAUAGAAAAAAGUAUAGCACGAGAUAGAGUGAGAGAGAGAGAGAGAGAGAGAGAGGGUUUUGUAGGAAGGAUAGAGUAAAAGUGGGAUCGAAGAUGGUGUCUCAGGUGAAGUGCUCCGCCCUCUCAUUGCGAUCUCCUCAUCUUCCCUUCAUCCCCGCGACGCAGAUCCCUCUUCGCCCCUGUUGUCUCAGGUUUCCCUCCUCCCUCUCUCCGAUUCCUUAAUUCGUAUCCUCCUCUUUCGAAACAUGAUCCAUCGACGUUUUGUUUUUUCGCCUUUUUUAUUUUAGUUUUUUUAUCUGUUUUUUAUGCUACAACACGACUCAGCUCGGAUUCGAUGUCGACUUUUUUCAUUUCGAAUCUCCGUAGCUUUUAUGAAGAUGCAGCGAGAAACUUCUUAUACAAUUUUUUUUUUUUUUUUUUGUGCUUUGGAGUUUGGGUCGAUACUAACAAUGGGAAAAAUCUCGCUAGUAAUAAUAUCUGCUGAUCUCUUCAGAUUCAGGAGCUCUGCUCAGUUUCUUAAUCAGUGUACACGACGCUUGGUGCUAAAUUCUUAUUUGCAAAAUGGAAAAGGUGCGAUUUUUUUGCUGUUUGGACUAUUCCUGGAUCAUUUCCUAUCAGAAACUGUUGUCUUAUAUCAUCCACAAAAUGUUUACAUGCAAACAGUACACAACACUUCCUAAGACUAAUUUGUCGGACUGCUUAAUCCUCAUUAAUCCAACAACGACAACAACUAUUAUUUUGUUAUGAGGGUUUAUUUUUGUUAAUGAUUUCUUAUGGAAAGGCAUUACCUUUGUCAGGAAGAAGAGUGGGCAAUCCGGUAAAGAGAUCGGCUAACAUACUUGGUCCCGUUUCUGAUUUCUUGGCUAUUGCAUCUGCUGUCAAGGACUCAAUAUAUAUGCUUAACAAGGUCGUCUAUUAGGAGACUCUUACUACAUGUAAUAUUUCCUUAAUGCACCUUUUCUCAUCAAUUCUAAUGUAAAUACAGUUGGAUUUCUCUUGAUUUUUCAAUUUCUACUAUACUUCUGAUGAACAAAUUAUGGUCUCUAUCUGCUUCUGCUGUUGUCGUUUCAAUUGUUAACCUUUUCUCUUAACAUUUCAAGUUACAAUAUUGCAGGGGUCUGACGGAAAUGCUACUUUACAAUGCUUGGCAUACUACUUCAUCUUCAGAUUGGCCAUAAAAACUAAGCAUUGGAUAAUGUUGAUGAUGGUGAAACUGUCUGUAAUGCCAUCAUUUGUCAGCACGAGUUUGCCGUUUGCUUCUGUGUCCAACUCUCUCAACAAACCUGUACCUCUCCAGCUAGAUGUGACUUUCCCUUCUUUUCAAGAUAUCAAAUUGAGUAUUUCUCGGGCGUAUUAUCUAUUUAACAUGCAGCUGGAACGUAAUAUUGGCACGUAAGUCAACUGGAUUUAGCUAUGACUGGUUAACUUUAUACAUUCAUUAGUUUGGAUUUUCAUUUGGGCUAUUAACCUUUUUUUUUUGAACUAAUCCUAUUGCAACUUUGAUAGAUUAUUAUCUGAAUCUUCUCCCAUGGUUAAAUUUUUUAUGACUGUGGUUGAUUUUCGCUUUCCUUUUUAUAAGAAAAGCUAUCUUUUCAAGGAAAAUCUUUGUUUAACUGUAACUUUGCUGAAGUUUGUUGACUGCAUCAUUUCUUUUUGCAGGAUUUUUUUUGCUUUACUCGUGGCAUGCUUCUCGUUUGUCGUAAUUGGGGGUUUCCUAUUUUACAGGAUUAGGUAUAUAUUUCUAAUUUUUUACUGCAACUAUUCUGGUUUUUGAAAGGUCUUUCUCUACUAUUGUUGCUCUGGUGGAACAUUGUUAGUUGAACCAUAACAAAAGAUGCUCUUUCUUAAAAACCGUAAAAAACAAAGAGAGGAAAAUAAAAAACAUACAACCUGGGCGUUGCCCAGAUUUUCUUGGCCCUCUAUUUUUGAUACCCUGAUCAGCCCAUUGAGUUGGUUCGGCAUUGAUCCAACCUGGAAGAAAACUACCCCUGGUCUUGCUGGGCUGAGCCAUAUUUGCUCGGGCAUACCAAAUACUAAAAACAUGUCCCUGAAUUACUCCCUUUGAAUUACUCCUUUUGGUUAUUCCUUUUAGGAAUAAACAGCAAUCGCUUGAGGAUUGCUUUUGGGAAGCUUGGGCUUGUCUUUGUUCAUCUUCUACUCACUUAAGAGUAAGUCAAGUUGUAUGGAAUUAGAAGUUUCUUUGUCUUGAAUUCUGAAAAUGUAAAUUUCCUACUUGAUUUUCAGCGGAUUCAAAUGAAAAUUUAUUUGUUUUGUUUAACAGCAAAAAACACGUAUUGAACGUAUAAUUGGUCUUGUUCUUGCUAUCUGGGGUAUUUUAUUCUAUUCCCGUUUGUUGAGCACAAUGACAGAACAAUUUAGAGUAAGUAUUUCUGUUUCCCAUUUUAUGAGAUUAAAGGUUAUAAUUUUUAUGCUUGCACCUAAGCAAGUGUCGUGCUUGCAGAACCACAUGCAGAGGAUUAGAGAAGGAGCACAACUGCAAGUUAUGGAGAGUGAUCAUAUUAUUAUCUGCGGUGUCAAUAGUCAUCUGUUUUUCAUACUGAAACAACUAAAUAAGUUUCAUGAGUCAGCCAUCCGCCUAGGUACUGCUACAGCAAGGUAAUGUUUUGCAUUGAACUUCUGAUGCAACUUUAGUUGUAAUGAUCAAACGUCUUGUUGUACAAAUGAACAACAAAUGAAAAAACAUAUGUCGUACCACUUAUGCAUCGUCUUUUGAUUAACAAAAUGAAGGAAGCAAAGAAUUCUUCUUUUAUCGGAUCUCCCGAGAAAGCAAAUGGAGAAGCUUGGAGAUAGCAUGAACAAAGAUUUAAAUCAUAUAGAUGUCCUUACCAAGAGGUAAGUUGUUCUUAAUUUCCCAUCUAGUGCUUCUCAAAAAUACUUCUCCAGUUCUCAGUGCUCAGAAUUGCAUGGUAACAUCUCUGUCUUACAUGCAAGAUUUAAUUUUACAAUGGCAGUUGCACCCUUAGUUUGACAAAAUCCUUUGAGAGAGCUUCGGCUAAUACAGCAAGAUCCGUCAUUAUAUUACCAACAAAGAAUGAUCGGUCAGUAUAACUUUUUUAAUGUUCGCUCUACUUGAUCUAUAAUAGCCGAGAAGAUAUCACUUCUGCAGGAAAGCAUUUAUUGAAGAUUCUUGUCUCAUAUCUGUAUCUUGACAUAUUGGUUAUGCAAAAAAGCCUUUCUUUGUUUGUUACUUAAAAAUACCCAAUUUUAAAUGAAUCAUUAUUGGGAAAAUAUGAUCGCUCAGAAACAUCCAUUAUUGGGAAAAUGUAAUCACCUAGAAACAUCCACAUAAUGUGCAUACACUACUGUCGUUAUUUCAGUAUGGAUUUCAUUAUCCAUUUAUUUCUUAUGGGUAACUUUCUUAUUGACUUGAAAUAUUUGUUAAAAUAUUUUUUGAUCAACAUAAUCAGGUAUGAAGUUGAUACGGAUGCAUUUCUUUCUCUUUUAGCUCUGCAACCUCUUCCUAAAAUGGCAUCUGUUCCAACUGUUGUUGAGGUAUAGUACAUGCAAAUGAUUACUUGAUUGGAAAUCUACAUUUCUUGAUUUUGACUGCUAUCCAUUCUGUAGAGCACAAUUUACUAGUGUGGAAAUUCUUUCUAAAUCUUGUUAAUGCUCAUUGUCCAUGGGCUAAUUUUAUAGCUUUUAUCCUUCUAAAAGACAUUAUAAUUUUCCUUGUUUCAGGUCCCAAGUUUAUGUGUCAUUUCCAUAAUCCUAAUAUAUUUUCCUGCUUAUUUAAUAGAUGUACAUUAAUAUAUGUAUGUUGUAUAUAAACAUUAUGUCAUCUACAUGAGAUAUCUAACAAUGAUAUUGCUGGAUAUUGCUCUGACUGAAGGGUAAACCGUGCCCCCAAACAAAUUGAUUAGAUAGGUAAUUGCAAUGAUUACAGUGAUGACCAAGGAUAAAAGGUGGAAUAGCAGUAUCGGAUAGUUGGUUGGAAUAGUUGAUCCCAGGUUAUCCUAUUAUAUCCUGUAGACCAUAACAGCUUUUCCGACCCUUUUCUUCUGUGUUUGUCAGAAUAAUGAAGAUGAGGUGUAGAUUUUUUCUGACAUCUGCUUGGCUGUACAAUUUGAUGAUUGUGAUCUAAACAAUAACUUGUGCAGCUUUUCACUUAUUUCACCUUUUAUAAUGUAGGCUUCCAACUCUAGCACCUGUGAACUUCUGAAAUCAAUCACAGGAUUGAAUGUGCAGCCGGUGGAGAUGGUCGCUUCUAAGUUAUUUGUUCAAUGUUCUCGCCAGAAGGGCCUCCUCAAAAUUUAUAGGCACUUGCUUAAUUAUCAAAGUAUUUUUUUUUCAACCCACUAAAAGCAACAUGACGCUAAUAUAUUUAUCUAUAUUUAUUUGAAAAGUUCGUUUCGAUUAAUUUAGUAAAAUGUAGAAUACAUGAGAUGUCCAACCAUGACAAAUUUUGCUGGUACAGACCUUUUAUAUUAGAUAUGAUUUUUAAGGUUCGUAAAGUUUGUCUAAUGAUAUUCUAUUUCCUGUAAACAUUUGUUCAAAAAGUGAAAAUAGUGAGCUCACAGCUUUGUGCUUCUGCAUUUACUCAAUGAUCAUGUACUGCUAGUGAAAGUGCCAGUUGACCUUUCUGACAACUUUAUUUUGCCACAAUCCGGGAAAACAAGGACUUAAGAGAAGUUUAGGUUUGCACAAGCCACCAAAAGUGCAACAUUAUAUUGAACAAACUAGAAAGUAGACCCUUUUGCGUUGGUAGGCUAGUUGAAUUAUACUUGUAAGACAAUGUAGGAACUGUAUUCUUUUGUCUAAGCAUAUUAUUUUCUAAAUAAAAAUAGUACAUUGAUCUGGAUCUUAGACUCUGCAAUUUAACUUGCAGAUUUUAAGUGUUGUUAAUUUUUGUAGGUGAUUUUAACCAAAUUAACACUCUUUGCUCUGUAAUAUAACUAUCUUAUUGCUUGCAGAAAAUGUGUUCAAUUUAUGUAUCUCUCCAAAUCUAGUAGGCUUGAAGUAUACGCACGUAAGGCAUGGAAUCCAAGAGGUAGAACUGCAUGCUGCAUUUAUUUAUAUGUAUUUUCCUAAAUUAUUCUUCUAUGAUGCCAUAUCUUUUUCUUGUGGCCAGGCAGUUGUAUGUGGAAUCUUUAGAGAUGGAAAAGUAAAUUUUCACCCAAGUGACGAUGAAGAGAUUAGACAAACAGACAAGGUAUGUAUGUGUAUAUUCUGACAAUGAAAUAUUGAGUAGAAAUGUAGCAAGAAACGGCAUACUGUUUUAUAUAAAUGGAAUUUCAAAUGGUUCAGUGUUCCUCACCUGAUUCAGACAAGCCUUAAGUUCAAAUGUUAAGUAUUUUAUCGCAAUUUGCUUUUAAGCGUAAACCAUAUUAAACCUAACACUCUGUAAGAUAAUGGAUGAUUCAAUUUUACCUCAUUUUGAUCUGAUUAAUGGAUUUUAUAAUCUUAAACUUUUGUCUUUGUCUUCAUUCACUCGGAAUUGGCAAACAAAUCCUCAAAACUGCUCUGGACUUAAAAACUAACUUUAACAAGACCAGGCUCUUUACAUAUGGUCAUGAAACUUGCCUACCCAAUCUAAGACUGAAUCAGUCAUCAUUACUUUGUGAGUAUAUUUACAUGAUAAUGCACCAAAAAGCUGGUUUCUUAUUCACUGUGCUUUUGUGUCUUCUAAUUUUCUGUCUGUUACAGUUGCUUCUUAUAGCUCCUGUUUAUGGGAGAAAAAAGCCACAACUAUCGCUCCCAGAUGUAUCAAAAGAAAAGCAAGGUUACACUUCUCAUGAUCUGAAGGUGAUUGAAAGUGAAGGAUCAAAAGAUAUAGCCCUCGAAGUGAAGAAAGCACGACUUGAGAGCAUUGUGAAGCGGCCUUCAAAAGCAAGCUCAAAGGUACACUUUUAGUGAAGGGCGUGCUUUACGACAGAAUAAUCUUUUACACAGAAUUAUGCUUCUAAUAACCUAAGAAGUUUUACGCAGACUAGUGAAUGGAAUUUAGGACCAAGAGAGUACAUUCUUAUGCUUGGAUGGCGGCCAAAAGUUGGUGACAUGAUUCGAGAAUACGACAAUUACCUUGGACCCGGUAGUAUACUGGUAAGUUUCACGUUUCUGAAACUGAAAAUUUAAUCCACCUAAAAGCAUGUAAUUUCUACAAACUAUAAAAUUGAAAUACGUGAUAAAUUUAUUAUUUCUCGUUAGCUUAAUCGUUUUAAAUUAUUGGUGAAAGUUUGAUAUUUGCUGCUUGCUUUUCUUAAAGCUGAAAACCAUAGACACAUUUGCACUGUAUUUUGUAGUAAUAUUUAGUCAUAAACUGUAAACCAAAAAAAAAAAAACUAUUGGAUUCGGCUGCAUGGUUUUUUUAUACUUCUCAAUUGAUUUCUAGGAAGUGUUUUCCUCCUAUUACAGAGGAUUGGUCAAUAGUUUGUUCACAUAAACCUUAUGUUCAUUCUUUUAAGCAUGUUUAAAUCAUCAGUGUCAUGCUGUAAUAGGUUGACAUGUAAAGCAAAUUGCAGGAAAUCUUAUCAGAAGCUUCUGUUGAAGAGAGAAACAGUAUAGUCAACCCUGUUGUCCAAAACCAACUGAAACAUAUCAGGGUUUCACAUCGGGUCUCUCUCUCUCUCUCUCUCUCUCUCUCUCUCUCUCUCUGUGUUAGUCUCGAUUGAGAAUAACAUCCUAAUGCAGGUUGGAAGUCCUAUGAACUAUGAAACACUGAAGGAAGCAAUCUUAAAUAUGAGGAAAUCCUUCAAAGAUGCAAAACAUAUUCCCGUUUCAAUUGUAGUGAUAUCUGAUAGAGAUUGGCUGGUUGGAGGUAAUGUUGUUAUGAGAAAUUUUUUAUGGUGAAGGGUUAUUCAACUAAUGUAUGUGUCCUGCAGAUCCUUCCGAGGCUGAUAAACAUUCAGCUUAUUCCCUCCUUCUUGCUGAAAGUAUUUGCAAAAAACACAAUAUAAAGGUCAGUUUGCGAAGUAGAAACAUAAAAAGUUUUACUGCUAAUUAAAGGAAUGCCAAUACUACAUCUCAUUGAUUCUUCAAUGGUCAUAUGCGCUGUGCAGGUUGAAAACCUUGUAGCUGAGAUUGUAGAUACAAGAUUGGGGAAACAAGUAAUUACUAUUUACCUUCUUUUACUAAGACAAAAUUUGAAACUGUGGAAACAUUACACUUACUGGUUUACUUCGGACUUCAGAUUUCUAGAAUCAGGCCAUCCCUUUUGUUUAUUGGAGCAGAGGAAGUAAUGAGCCUUGUGACAGCUCAAGGUUGAUCAUCUUAAGUAUGCUUCAUUAUUUCUCAAAUAUCAUGUUAUUUCAUACUAAGAACUAUUAUUAGAAUGAGCUCCCCACCAUAUUGCAGUGGCUGAAAGCAGCGAGCUGAAUGAGGUGUGGAAAGACAUUCUUAAUGCAGAGGGUGACGAGAUAUAUGUGAAGGCAAGUUUUUCCCCUUUUUCCCUGGCUACAUUGUAACGUUUAUUUCCCUAGGAUCUCUCUCUCUCUCUCUCAUGCGUGCUCACCCACCCACCCUUCAACACACCCACCACAAGAGCUCAUUGGUGCCGUUGUUUUCAUUUGACAGGAUAUAUUCAUGCAUCAAGUACUUUUUUCUAUAUAAUCAAUGUUCACCGUCAGUAUUGAAUUUUGAAGUCCUACGUCCACAUGUUCUUUAUUGCAGGAAAUAUGCCUUUACAUGAAGAAGGGCGAGAAUCCCUCAUUUUCAGAGCUUUCGGAGAGGGCAGUUUUGCGUCGCGAAGUAGCUAUUGGUUAUGUCAAAGGCAACAAGCAGGUAUGUUUUAUCUUGUAGUAUUUAGAGUCCUGUUAGUUAUACAACACCUUGAAUUUUAUUUUACAUUUACAUUACCUAUUAUUUUAUUAUGAUAGGUCAUAAAUCCUAGCAACAAGUCGGAACCACUAUCUCUUGAAAUGACAGAUUCGCUUAUUGUAAUAUCGGAAUUUGAUGGUAAAUAGCCAAUUGUGAAGCAAAGCACAUUCGUCUGCAGAAAAGGAUAUAGACUCGCUGCGGAGAUAUACUUCAUACUUCUUGGUACAAGAAAUGCAGAAUCGCUUGAAGAUUGUUACUGGAAGAAUAAGUUAUUCUUCAAAAAUAAUUGAUUCUGAUAUCUACCGUGAAGUCUUUAUUACUGGGUUCACAUACCCUAUUGUUUGAUCAUUCUAGAACUGUUUAGAAAAAAAAUUUCGCUAUUCCUUGGUGCGCACAAGCAAAUUAAUUUUGCUCUCCCACAUCCGAGAUGAGAUUUCUUGGCUGUAAACAAUAAUUGAGAACAUUCAAUUAUUAACUCAAAAAUCCUCUGUUCUUUCUCAAACUCGUUUCUCUUGGUUUUGCCUUGCGAUUGCGUUGCAGUGUUAGGAUUUCUGAUGACUCUGCUGAUAUGACCAAUGCUAGAUCAGAUAUCGGCAUUCAUUUGUCACGUGCCAUUUCCAUGUUGAAGUGUAAUAUUAAUGCGACGAGCUAUGCACUUUGCAACUCUGUUUUUCUUUAUCUUUAAGCAGCUUUAUUUUCUUUGCUGUUAGCUUAUAAUCUCUCGAAGGAAGCAACAUUUGCUAUCAAUUGUAUUAUAGAUCCUGAUUAUAAUCUGUAAGAAGCUAGUUAUGAGUCCAUGAUCAACUGGAGAAACAUAUAUACUGCAGGAAGAAAUAAUACAAGAAAUAGAACCAACGUCUCUCUCUCCCUUUUUUUUUUUUAUUCCUUUUUUGUUUUGUUUUUUUUUCCUUCUCUCUCUUGCAACUUUUGUGUCCUCGUCAGUGCUAGACCUGAUAUUUCUACACCAAAAACAAGUAGAUCUCUUCACAGCAUUUUGCUUUUGAAUUUUUCUUUAUACACUUUGAGAAAUGAGCAAAUUGUCUAUGGUUAGAGAGUAUCAUAAUGUACUAUAGCAACAACUCUUUGUAGUCUCUCUCUCUCUCUCUCUCUCUCUCUCUCUCUCUCUCUCUCUCUUCCUUGUAAAUAAAAUGAGGCAGAUCACAGUUCCAAUACCAAAGGACAAACUUGGAGCACCCAAUAAAAGAUAUCAAGUUAAUUUACUGCAAAACCCUUUUAUCAUGUACUUGGAGCCAAGCCUCUCAGUAUCCUCAGCCUUUUGCAUGAGGUGAUAAACAUCCUACAAACACAAGAAGAAAUGUGUGAGCAAUUGAUAUAUAACCCAUAUAAAACAAAAACAAUAUAAAGCAAUACACAAACGCGCCAAAGGAAUACAAGUAUACUUACUCCCACGGAACAUCUCCAACCAACAUCAAGUCCCCAUCUUUAUCUUCAUAUGUGACAGCAUAUUCACGAGCAUCCACCCUUACACUCUCACCUGCAUACGUAAAUGAUUAAGAUAAAGAAGAAUAUCAAGAAGAGUACAAUAUACCAGUAUAUGCAUGUCAUGUUCUAUAUUUCAAAAUGUGUCACUACUCCUACCUGAAGGGAAACAUUUGAACAUGUCCUCUAAGGCCUCUCUGAGCUCCUUGUACCCUUUGUAGGCCUCGAGAUCAAUCUUCCUCAGAAUAGGAGCCCCAUCCAUGCUCACUUUUACGUAAGUUCCCGCCUUCUCUUCGUCCCGCUUCAUCGAUCGGAACGUAUUCCUCCUAUACGAUCGGAUCGGCGGCCAUCCAACUACUUGGGUCCUAUAACAUAUGCAGUCAUGCAUUCAAAAGCUAACAUGUUUAGCACUCCAAAACUUUUCUUACAACUUCAUGUAUGAUCAAGUUGUUGGUUAAAGAAACUCACUUUGCUUCGCGAUCAAAGUCGUUCGAUUCAAUCUCGGUCGCAGUCCUCUUCGUUCCGCCCUCCUUGCUACCCGUAGGAAGCACUUUAGUCGCUGUCUCCCUCUCUCGGGUCCCCGGCAACCCUAACCUGAGCUCCGUCGCUGCAAAGUUCUCGCCGUCGCCGAACCGCAGAGCUGCUUCCUUUUCCAUGUUCUUGGUCAUCAGGGUUGAAGAAAUUUGUUAGGCUAGAGAGGGCUAGAUGUGCACAACUGAGUAGUCUAGGAAGUUGAUGUGAGCUGUUUAAUAUGCUUCAUGGUCUUAUAAAGAAGGUGAGGGGGUGAAGGAAAUAAAGGAAGUUUCUUAAGGGCACCUUUUCUAAUUUUUUUAAGUCAUUUUAAAUUUUUUUUUUAAUAAAUGGGGAUUAUUAUUGGGUAGGCAUUGACAGGUUGGACAGAGGGGGAGUUAGGGGGCAUAAUUGAAUACACUGCUGGUCUACAGCAUAACAGGCCCGGCCUAAUGUUUGGUUGAAUGCAGAUGCUACACGUUCGAUUUGACGGAUAGAUUCGAUGCCAAAUGGUCCGAGAAGGUUUUUGGCCAUUGGAUCGCAGGAGUGGGAGAAACAGUGCAUGUGGGUGGGCCCUGGGCCCAUGGGCCUUCUAAAUUGGGGUGGAAAGCUAAGAUCCUUUAUUAAUUAGGUUGAUGAUUUAAUUAGUGGUGGUGUAUAAGGGAGCACAUGAUAUGUUGAACUAGCUUUUAUAUGUUUGAUUGAUAAUCUACUUAAAAAGGACUGGUCUAGAAAUCUAUAGCGUGUUUUGUGUGGGAGUGAUGCUGAGACUGUGGAUCAUUUAUUUGUAUGAUGCAUAUUCAACAAAUUUUUGAUGUUUAGUUUACUUAACGGUAGACAUAUCUCGAGAUCUAUAGUAGAGGUCAGAGGUGUCUAAAAAUUUCUAGCUGAGAACCGCUCACAAAGGGUAUCAACAAAAGAUCUAACUAAGGUCACAAUCUGUCACAAUCUGUUGGUGGAUGAUCCGGCGGGAAAGAAAUAAUGUGAUUUUUAGAAAUCAAUCUACAGAUCCCCUAAACGAGCUCGAGACUUGGAAAGAGAGUGGACUGAGUUUUGCAGCUCUAAGUGAACCCCUAUUUAGUUUUACUUUUUUUUAAUUUUAUUUUCUUUGUUUUAUUUUAUUUUUCUAAAUUUUCUUUUUUAUCAUUUAUUUUUAUAUUAUUUUUAUUUUUUGGCAUGGUGGCCUGUAUUUUAUUCGAGGGCAAGUUGCCCCAACUUUUGUAGCUGAAUUUAUUUUUUAUAUGAAUGAAACGGGUAGCAUGUUAUUUUUUUCUUAAAAAAAACACACAUUCCACUUUGGUAUAAGUUGAUUAAUUAAAGGUUAUACAAAAAAUUGGAAAGAGUAGAGUCCAUCUUGGGUACAUCUGAAAGCACAUUAAUAAUGCAUGUUAUUAUCUUUUUACUCUUUGGAUCCAAAAUACUACCAUCACCAAAUUGUAUUUUAGCCCCACUAGGAAAGGAUAUAUAAAUAUAUAUAUGGUUAUUUUAGAUAGGAUUAUUUUGUUUUGUUUUGGUUAAUUAUGUUCGUUAUCAGUGAGACUAAUCUAAUCUUAUUUUAGAAAACAAUUUAUAAACUGAUUGUGUGGUCUCCUGUAACAUCGAAAAUGCUAAUCAACUUUGAAUUCGAAAGGCAAUAUAUCUAUAUGUAUGUUAAACAAGCAACAUAGUUAUUGUCCAACUAUUGUGACGGGGGAUAAUGAAUUAAUGAUACUCCAACUAUACACGGGACUUAGAUCCUACUCCCCAGUCCCCAUCCAUAGAUGAGUUGGAAAGAAUCCCCAUAUAGAGCUAGGCUGGUAUACUAUCGGUAGCACGGAGGUCUCCGUGCUCUGCAAGUUGUUUUCAAUGAUGCGGCUUCCAAAUCGACGAUCGGUUCCGUUAGACUUGAUCUACACUAAUAUUAGUGGUGCAUUUAGAUUCGAGUUGAAUAUUAUUUUGCAGUUGAAACAACAUAUUGGUGUUACUCAGACACAUCAGAUAAUUUUUUUUUCCCCAUCUGUAGAUACUACACAAUUACAUAAUUUUGGUGCCAUGUACGUACAGCCCAUUCAACAAAGAAUAGGUAGAAUAUUUAUUGAUGCAAGAUAUGGAUGGAUGCCUCCAAUUAUUAAGACCUAUAAGAAAUACAUGCAAUAACCGUGAGUCGCAUAAUUGAAGUAGGGUCGGGAGACAAAAGUGGACCCUUUCUCCCUUCAUGCAUGAUGCAUCACUUCUUGAGUCGUAAUAGCUAAGCUUCACUUGUUUGUUCCACAUUAAACUAUUCAAAAAAGUUGAGAAAAAACUUAAAAGUUUUUUGUGGAAAGAAAAAUUCACAUUCGUUGCUGUUUGAUUUGGCAUUACAAAAUGAUCAUAUAUAUACAAAAGUGAGCAUAUAUUAUAAUACUAUUCAUUGACAGACAAUGUUGAGUUUUUUUUUUUUUGAGAGAAAGAUAGGUAGCACGCUAUCCGCUUUCGUUUAUUUUAUUUAGAAAUAAACUUAGCUGAAAAUGUGAAUCAAUUAGGAUUCGAACUUGGAUCUUGGGUACCAACCACCAAGUCCUUUGCCACUUACUCUAUAGACGGCCGGUGACAAUGUUGAGUUAUUAAUGAGUGAUCAGAAAUAAUCGAACAAAUUAAGGUGACAACCUUUUCUUGAAUUGUAAACACAAGAACACGACAACCCAACUCAAUGGAUCGAAGUUUUGCUCCAGCUCAUUUGAAGAGACGCAGAUAUAUAUUGGACAAAUUAAAAUGUUAGGCAAGCAUAUAUAAGUAAUUAAGGCUCCCAUCAAUCCAUUGAAUUUAUCCAUCUUUUUCUAUGCCAGAUAGAGGACAAAAUUAAGCACGAUUGUGAACUUGUAGUUGGAUAUAUGUUCCCUUUCCUCUCCUAUUAGAGAAAGCCAUUAAUUUUCCAUCACACCAUCAUGCAUGUGUACGUGCUUGAGAUGCAUGUAUGUGUCCUUUAAAAUUGGUGUGUGCGCACAGGGACCCCGCACGUGUGCCUUACGGACAAUAUUGUAGGGCUUUGUAGCAAUUAAUGUCACUCUUCAGGAAGGGAAACACUGAUGUAGAAGGAAGGGUAAAUUGCAUUACCAGGUUUUGAUUUUAUCCUAAAACCUUUCUUUUUGAGAUACAUUCCAAAAAUAAAUUUUAUUACAGAUGUUGAGGUAACGAGGCCUAGAGUGAGUCAAACAGUUACAAAAGUAAAGAAAGAACUAAAGCAAAAAAGAAAAAUAAAUAAAUAAAGAGGUUAUAUUCCGAGGCGUAAAAAAUAUGCCAUCUAGAGCUGUAAAAUUCAGCUCAUUCUUUUAUCAUUAUUCUCAAACCUUUAAGUUUCGCAACUAUCACUCUAAAUCUUUUUCGAGUAUUUACAGGUUUACGUUUGUUUUCUCAAAAAGACAUAACAAAUUAUUUUUAUAGAAAAAAACUUCUAUAAAAAAAUAUUCUUUUUUCAUUAAUUUUUAUUUUUUGUGUGGAAAAUUUGGAAAAUAAAAACACUACUUGUGCCUAAUUAUGUAACCAUCAAGGACCUUAUACGGACCAUGUAUAUCAUAGUAAGGUCAAGCCAACCUGAUUUGACUUGAUGCAUUUGCACACCAGUCCAAUUUGUAGAGAAAUUGCUUUUGGUCCGGUACUCUCAUUUAUGAAAAAUGUUAGCGGUACAUUUCUGAUAAGAGAUGUAUGUCUUACACGCUGUGUUCUUUUUUUUUUUUUUUUUUUUUUUUUUUUUUUUUUUUUUUAAGAGAUAGGUAGCACGCUAUCCGUUUCGUUUAUUUCAUUUAGAAAUAAACUUAGCUGGAAAUGUGAAUCAAUUUGAAUUCGAACUUGGAUCUCGGGUACUAACUAUCAAGCCCUUUUGCCACUUACUCUAGGGACGGUCGGUCGCUGUGUUCCAUAUUGAGGCAUCUCUUUUGAGAUUUAAGGUUUUUUUAAAAAAAGUAACAAGAGAAAUAGAAAAAAUAAAGGUCCCAAAAAGUCUAUAGGUGUAUGAUUUACACUAUAAAAAGAAGGGUGAAUUAAUGAGUAAGAGCAUAUUAAAUAAGAUUCUGCAUGUGCGCGAAAAAUUUUACAUGGAUUAUGAUCGCGCCGUGAGUGACAGGAUUAAUUGAUGGUGAUUGCUAAUGUAUCAUUUUGCAUCUGGAAACACAACAGCGUAAUACACACGACUCUCCCAGUUGCUCUGGAAUAUUCAUUAAUUUAAUUGUCACGUCGUUGUCAUGCAUAUACGUGUCUAUUUUAAUUGGUUGCAGAUGAGAAAAUCCACUGCUUGUAAUAAUGUCGAAUUUUCAACAAAUUAUGUAUUACGUUAUAUACACAUAUAAAUACAAUAUUAAAGAGAAUGGAGUUUGAAUGGACUACUAUCGGUAGUAAACUGCUCAGUUUACUAUCAAUUUGUUUUUUAUGAUAGAGCUUUCAAAUCGACGAUCGACACCGUUGAACAUGAUUUAGACCAUUUAAAUUAUCUAGAAAUCAAAUUUCAUGAUUUUUUGGUAUCACUAACUGAACGUUUAAAGAGUCACAAAAUCUAUAAUUUUAAUGGCCGAUAUGGUGCGUUUGCUCGUUUAACGGUAUAGAAGAGUUCAAAUCAACUAAUAUUUUGUUAAAAAAUUCUUUAAACUAUUUAAAAUAAGAUCUAAACUCUAGAUCUCAUAUAUAAAAAUUAUAUCAUCACUUUUUGAAGGAUAUUCAUUUCCAGCCAUUCAUUUUUCUGCUCACUUGAUGGACAAGAGAACAAUAUCGAAAAUGUGUGAAAUUUGAUUUCCAGAUAGCUUAAAUAGUUUAGAUCAUAUUUAACGAUACUGAUCAUCAAUUUGGAAGCUCUAUCAUCGAAAACAAAUCGGUAGUAAAUCGAACCGUUUACUACCGAUAAUAUUCUAGCAAAACUCAAUAGAAUGACAUAUAUAUUUUUUUUGGAACAUUCUUGUAGAAUAAGAAAACCAAAACUUUACUAUUAAGAAAACGACAAUUCUCCGUGGACCAAUCGUGGCAAAAGCGCCUUGCUGUAGUGUGCAUUCAUAUAUAGACUUCUACGCACCAGUUAGACUAUCACUAGGAAAUUAAUUUUUCUCAAAAAAAAAAAAAGGAAAUUAAUCCACCCACAUCAUCUAAUAGAUUACUUAAUUAACUUUAAUAAGGAUAAUAAUAAUAAUAAUAAUACUUAUCCGAAUGUAAUUAUUUUAUAUUCUUAGCUAAGUAUAACUAAUCAACUUCAAACUUCCAAACUUUGAUUAGUCUAAUUAAUCAAAGUCCACAAAGGCUACAAGCUAGACUAUUACGUGGGACAAUUGAUCAAGUGCAUGUAUAAAUAGUACGCACAUCUCUCAUUCUCUUCUCACAACCAGAUCCAACAUCCACAGAGAUGAUUGUAAUUGGAAGAGAGAGUCUCCUUGCGGUGCUCCUGCUUUGCGCGGCCGCAGCGGCGGCGACCGCGCAAAGUGCUUCUAAUGUGCGGGCGACGUACAACAUCUACAAUCCGGCGGCCAACAACUGGGACUUGAUCGCCACCGGCGUCUACUGUGCCACGUGGGAUGCCAACAUGCCGCUCGCGUGGAGGAUGAAGUAUGACUGGACCGCCUUCUGUGGGCCGGUCGGGCCGACCGGCGAAGCUUCCUGUGGCCAAUGCCUUCUGGUAAGAAGUACUCCAUAAAAAAAAAUAAAUAAAUAAAAUUUGACACAUCAUUUUUUACCGUUGAGAGUAACAAUCACUAUAUUGUGCCAACCACGAAUAGCUCAAUUGAUUAAAGCAUUGUUGUAGAUUAGAUCGGAAGUUUGAGCCCUCUUUAAUUGUGCUUCUCUUUAGAAGGGUAUUAUCUCCCUAUUUACUUAAAACCGAAAAUGAUGAUGUAUCAUGGUUUUGAUUUGUUCAAAAAGGAUUAAUCUAUGGGCUAUUAGGUCAUGAGGAUUAGGUCAAAAAGAUGCAUUUGGAAUAGAUUUGGCUAAAAAAUCAGCAGUAAUUUGAUUGAUAAAAUGAAUAAUAUAAUAGUAAAAAUAUAUAAAUGUGUGACGAAAAUAAUAAAUUUUUUCAUUUAUUUUACCUAAUUUCCGGUAGGAGAAUUGAUAGGUACAACUAUGGUCACUAUUUGUUAAAUUAUAUAAUUCUAACUUUAUAAUCUGAUAUUUAAUCAAACAUUUGUUUGCAUCAUUCUGAUUCGUACGUACUCAUCAAAUUAACCUGAUGCAAUCUCAAUUACACUACCAUAUAUAAUACAGGUGACAAACACAGCAACAGGAGCACAAGCAACGGUCAGGAUCGUCGAUCAGUGCUCGAACGGAGGGCUGGAUUUAGAUCAGGGUGUUUUCGACCAGCUAGACACUAAUGGACAAGGCGUUGCCAACGGCUAUCUCAUCGUCGACUAUCAGUUUGUCGACUGCGGCGACUGAUAAAUGUUGACUUAUUAUUAUCCAUUACUAUUAAUAAUGCCAUGUAAUAAAAGGAUAUUACAAUGAAUAAGGUGUGAUCUAAAAGAAAUGCAAUAAAAGCUUUUCUAUGCGCAAUAAAUUAAGUUGAUUAAUUGAUAUUGUCAAAAAAAAAAAAUUAUUAUUAUUUUCGGCCAUUAUUCACAGGCUAAUUUGAUAUGAUCACCGACCGUCCUUAGAGCAAGUGGUAAAAGAGUUGGUGGUUGGUAUCUGAGGUCCCAAGUUCGAAUCUUAGUUGACUCAUCUUUCCAGUUAAGUUUAUUUCUAAAUAAAAUAAACGAAGCGGGCAGCGUGCUAUCUAUCUCUCAAAAAAAGAAAAAAAUUGAUUAUGAUUGACAGACCAAAAUUUUUCUUAUGUGAAGGAAUUAAUAAAGUUCAUAGCAUGUUAAUUUGCAGGGGUCUACAAUAAACAACAAGAUGGUUAACCACUCAAUCUUAUCUAUUAAAACGAGAUAAAUGGCCCUGAUUAACUACGAAAGUUUCUAAUAUAAAAGUAAAGUUGACUUUGAAUGAUUAUUAUUCACUUAUUGAAUUUUCUUUUGUAUAAAUAAAAAAUAUUGUAGCUUGUAAAGAUUUGAGCUUUCUAGCAUAGAUAACUUAGAUUUUAGUUUUUCAGUCAAAUGGUUUCGACCUAACAGAUUAUUCGUAUAGUGGACGAAUAAUAUCCCAAUUACAUUUCAAACUUGAAAAGGCUUCCUUUGUAAUUUUCUAUAUGUAAACCUUUGGGGUACAUUGCUUAUCCAAUCCUUCAAAUUAACAUUCUCUCUUAACCAGUGGCGGCCAUGUGGUGGAUAAUCUGGCAUGAAAAAAAUAAUAUUAUUUUUCGAAACUUAUCUCUAAACGCUAUUUCUAUUGUCCACCGUAUUGAAGUACUUGUGAAAGAUUAGGCCUCUUGUUGUAAAGUCGGAUGAUGUCAGUAUUUGUUGCACCCUUCAUUCUGACGGCUGUUUUUGUCUUUAUCGUAAAUUGUUUCUUCUACUUCCCAUUGACAUUUUGCCGCCUUGAGGUCUUUGCUAUUUCACUAUUUAUAGCUAAAUUCAAUUACUUAAUGAAUAAGUUAUCUUAUCUUUUUCUCAAAAAAAUCACAUUCUCUAUUAACUGGCUUAACUUGUUCUAUGGUUACUGUAUAUUCCUUCGUUACACUCGAACUGAACAUACAAGGCAACGGCAACUUGUACUUAGCUAGCGUACUUAAUUUUUGCCUUGUUUGUACAUCGAAUUUAAAAUAUAUAAUGACGCCAUUUAAUUAAGUAUAAUUCUUAUGCUACGUACGAUUAGAUUUUUAAACGUUUGCACAGUUGCAGUUUUGUAUUGCCAAAGUACGUGUGUGCCUCUAUUUUAUUUUAAAUCAAAGCAACAAAUAAAACAUUUUUAUGCCGGAUUUUGUCGCGUUAGUGAGCAUAAUCCCACCUAGAAGCCGCAUAUACCGUUAAUCCUUGAUAAUUACUUGUAUAAAUAGCAUUAAUCUCCUAUGUUUAUGCAACCACACAAAUUGAGAAAUUACUGUUACAUAAGCUAUGACAAUGAGUGUUGGUACGAGGAGCUUGUCCACGGCUUUGCUGCUUUUCGCUGCGGCGGCGGUGGCCGCAACCGCGCAGCAGGCGUUUGACGUGCAGGCAACGUUCAACUACUACUACCCGGCGCAGAACAAUUGGGACCUGACGGCCGUCAGUGCGUUCUGCGCCACGUGGGAUGCCAGCAUGCCUCUGUCGUGGCGAGAGAAGUACGGCUGGACCUCGUUCUGCGGUCCCGUCGGCCCCACCGGCGAAGCCGCAUGCGGCUUGUGCCUCUUGGUAAAAUGGCUUUCUCCUAUUUGGUCUUGUAUAUAAUCCAAUGAUUUGAUUGGAAAAAAUAAACCAGUAGGUCAACCACUGUCUAGAAAAAGUUCAAUUUAGUUUCUUAAUAUUCACUGAAUUGCAACUUCUGAGAAUGCAGAUUUGAUUGAACUCAUGUCAGAUUAGAUCAAACUGAGCCUACGGAGUCUGUCGUAAAAUGUGCAGGUGACAAACACCGCAACCGGGGCGCAGUUGACGGUGAGGAUCAUGGACCAGUGUUCGAACGGAGGGCUCGAUUUGGAUCAGGGUGUGUUCGCUCAGCUGGACACUGAUGGGAGUGGCUAUGCCAAUGGCUUUCUAACUGUCAACUACGAGUUCGCGGACUGCGGCGAUUCCUGAUUGUUUGAUUUCGCUGAAGAAUUUCUGCUGAUUAUUUAAUUCUGCAUUGUGAUUCAUUCCUAUUAGAUUGAUGAUGAUGAUUGUUAUUAUUAUUUUCAUUCAAAUCGAACCUAAUUAAGCUAAAUGCUAUCAAAUGUUUUUAUAAAUUUUGACUAAGAGGUUGAAUAACAAAAAGUUCAACAACAAGGAGCAAAUUUCUUGGUCAGAAACAAGGGGAAGCGCCUCUGAUGAACCCCUUCUGCUACACAAACAUGACGAAGAGAUAAAUUUAAACUCUUAAACAUCAACUCUUUAUUUCAAAACAAAUCACCAAUAAUCAAACAAAAACCAAUUCUAAACAUCUUGUGACAAAUCUAGUGAGGAAAUUAAGAACAUGAAUAGGAUGAAAAGUAGGCUUGAAGGAUAUUGGUGAGGAUAGGGAACACAAUUGUAGCUAGCACCUAUGAAGUUGAUGACACAUGGAUUGCAAAAAUAUUCGUGCACGCCUUGGGCAUGAUCUGUAUCCCCUUCAGAAUAACAAUACCUAGUCAAAUCUAUAAAGAAUCCUCUAAGAUAAUUCUCCUCCAAUUUGUACAAUUUGGUUACACAGUUGGUCGAAGAAGUGGUCCUCUUAGUGAUGAUAACUCCGUUAAAAUGCAGCAGUUUUGUGUCAGAUUAGAGUGAUUUGUUAUUUUCCUUUAUCUUCCGGUGUAGUUUAAUUAUACUUUAAAAAAUAGUACUCUUUUGCGUCUUCUCAAUAUUUUAUUAAAUAGGUUUUUUACGAGUAUAGCACAGUUUCCUUAUAAACUGGGCCUGAUCGUACAGAUAGGGUGAGGCGCUAGUUAGCAAUAUGGCACAGGGUUCACAGGUGACGUGGUGAACCGGGUCUGGUCCAUGACAUCCGAUUAAGGCCUUAGGAAGAAGCCGGCCCAAUAUGGCCCACUAGAAUUCGGGCUGUACUGUUUGGCAUUUGGGCUGGGCCUUUUCUCCUAAUGUGUUUUUAAAAAUUAAGUCAUGCGUUUGUUGUUUAGAACUUCUAUUUCACUAUCUAGAAGCAAUUAGAGUACAUAACUUUUGAUUAAUUAUUUGCUUAAUUUAUUUCUACUCUUUAUUAUAGUGCUAGAUAAUUGAUCCACAAAAUACAAAUUUUUUUUUUGAGAGAAAAAUAGCACGAUAUCAGCUUCAUUCAUUAGGAAAAUGAAUUUAGCUAUAUAGAGUGGGACAGCUAAAGCCUCAAAACCAUUGAAAAAUCAAAAAGAAAAGAAUAGAAAAGAGCAAAAAAGAAAGCUAAAAAGAAAAACUGAAAAAAAAAGAAAAAGAAUGUAAGCAAAAAAAUAGAUGGUAAGAACAAAAAGUAUAACAAAUGUCUACGUCAUCCUGCUCUACAAGACUCGGCCCACAUGAAAUCGACCCGGAACAACACCUGUACCAAUUGAAAAAUAUAAAAAUCUUGUGUUAUUUUCUAGAUGAUGGAAGAUGCUCCACAUGAAAUCGACCCAGAACAACACCCGUACCAAAUCGUUACGGCUCGAGUCCUUAAUUAUCAACAAUAAUUAUAAGUUUUAUUAACGGAUUAAUAAUUAUUUUAUGAAUGUGAGUACUUGAUCACUAGAAAAGCUCCUCCCCAGCUCGCCCCAUUUGUUAAGUUCUCACGUACCAAAUUCUUUGUACAGUGUCUAUUCUCCUUGGUCAACUAAAAUGUAUAAAAGAAAAUUAUUAGUUUAUUAAUUAAUUAUAAGAAAAUGUUUACGGAAUAAAUAAUAUAUAUUUAUUUUUGGAGGCGUGCACACUUACAUAAGCUUCGCAUGUUCUUAAUUUGAAUGAGGUAAUCACUUAGAUCAUGGAGUCUUUUGACUGGGUUUUAGGACAAUUUUGCCUCGUAUUUUAAACAAUCUUCGCAUGUUCUUCUCUGACAUCUAACACUGUGUAAAUUGUACUGAUAGUUUUUAAGCAUCCAACUAUAAUUUUUCUAGAGGUGACGCAAAUUAAAAUUUAGUACCUUUUACUUAUUUCUAUAAAUUGGUCCUUAAAACUUAUGUAAUUCUUUCGCAAUUGCUCAUCGAAACAUGUUUCUAAGUUUGCUAAGAGACGGGCAAGUAGAACUAGUACACGAACUAAAUUUUCAUGGAUAAUCUAUUGUUAGGAAAAAAAAGUUAGGAACUACAUAUGUAAAAAUCAUGAAGUAUAUAUAUAUAUAUAUAUAUAUAUAUAUAUCAAAGUUUAGGAAAUAAUCAUAUUGUUAGAUUUUUUUGGAUUUAUAGUAUUUGUAUAGCAAAAUACGCAUUAUACUUGAAGGAGGAGAUAAUUGUGGCGUAGGAGAAUAAUAAUAACAUAUAUAAAGAAGUGCAGAAAAUAUACUUCAAAAAUAAGAUAAAGCAAUUAAAUUUUAAACAAAGAAUCUCGAAUGUUAACUAUUGAACUGAUUCGUCAGUAUAAUAUUUUAAUACUUUUGAAAAAAGAAAAAGAAAAGGUGAGGCCUGUUUUUGUAAAAAUAAGAUUGUAAAAUAAUUGGAUUAUAUAUCAACUAAAACAGAACAAAACAAUUAUGGCGACGUUGCGGAGAAUUAUCCGCUCUCAAUAAAUACAAAACAAUUUUGGGACAAUUUUGGGACAAGUGUGAAUCCUGCCACGGCGCGUUCGAGCUGCAGAUGUCGCCUGCCCGUGAUAACAACCGAAUAACAGCAACUCGUGAAAAAGAGAGAACAGCAACAGCGCUACUGCAUUGCGCCACCGAACCGGAAUAAGUACCCGGAAUAGAAACUCCCUUCGCAAUCACGCCACCCAACCGGAAUAAGUACCCGAAUAACACGACCCCGAUAAAUACGGAAACGGAGGGGACGGACCAAAGAACGAAUUCGAUUCCCCCCGCCAUUAACGAGAUUCUUCGAAGGAAACCGAACCCCCCGGUUUGUAGCGAAGAGGAAAGGAGCUCGGAGGCGACGAUUCUGCUGCUGCUGCUUCUUCCUCGGCACUGGCGAUGUGAUCGCCGGGGAGAAGAACGCUCGGAGCUCCGGCGAAGGGGAGGGGAAUCGGGAGAUGUGAGCUCCGGGGGGCGGCGGCGGGGGCGGUGGAGAUGGCGCAGGGGUCGAUGAAGAAGAAGGCGGGGGCGGGGGCGGCGAGGAGCUGGAUCCUGUUGGAUGCGAAUGGNGAGAUGGCGCGGGAAGCGGCGGCGGGGGCGGUGGAGAUGGCGCAGGGGUCGAUGAAGAAGAAGGCGGGGGCGGGGGCGGCGAGGAGCUGGAUCCUGUUGGAUGCGAAUGGGGAGGGGACGAUUAUGGACGUGGACAAGUACGCGAUCAUGCACAGGGUCGAGAUCCACGCGCGGGAUCUGAGGAUUUUGGAUCCCCUGUUGUCGUACCCUUCCACGAUCUUAGGGCGGGAGAGGGCGAUCGUUCUCAACCUCGAGGUGUUGCUGAUCUUCAACCCAGUUAUCAGUUGGUGUUCUUACUGGAUUGUGUUUAAUGGUGCUUAUUUUUGGGAUAGUAUUUGUUGCUAAUUUUGGUUUGCUCCUUUUUUUUUUAUUCCCCCUGUUUUCUGGUGCAGUAUAUUAAAGCGAUCAUCACUGCUGAUGAGGUACGAUUGAACUCACGCCGAUUUGACUGCUCUGCGAGUUUGAAUUUGAACUUCAAAUUUAGUGCUCAGAAACUUAGUUGUCCUGCUUGGAGCCUUUUUUGCUUGGCCGGAGCUAUCCGCACAAGUGAUGCUUGAGUAGAACUGUUCGAUUUGGUGAAAUAUUCUUAGCUUUUUAGUCGAUAAAGUUUUCUAUAAAGCUGUUUAUGCUGGAGAUAUGGAAGUUUCAAAUUAGAUCUUAUACCUCGUUUUAGUGCCCAAGGCACUUCAAAAGCUUUGGAAUUUUUAUUUGGAAAAGUUAGGCUUGUCUACCGAUCCAAUAACUGAAACAAAGAGAGGACUCGAAGAUUUUGUUAUUGAAACACUUCACGGUUUCUUUGAUUUUCCGAAUGAGUUGCAAGAUGAGUUCGUGGAUUGAGUGCUUUUCCUGGAUUAGGUGUUGCUUAGGGAUCCUACGGAUGAUAAUGUGAUCCCAAUAGUUGAGGAGCUUCGCAGGCGCUUACCUCCUGCUAGUGGUGCUCGCCAAGCACAAGGUGAAGGGAAGGAGCAACAUGAUGUAGAAGCUGCUGAGGAGGAUGGUAGGUUGUCCAUACUUUCACUUUGUUUUGCUCAAUGUGGUAAUUAGGCCUUUCUAGAACCUAAGUUAGGAGAAGAUACUAGUGUUAUGAGGCAGUUACUAAUUCUGUGCGGUUGCUGUCGAAAAGUCCUAAGUUUGCUUUUUAAAAUUUCUGUAUAUGUAUAUACCUAUGGAAUGUUCUUUUUUCUCUUUUUCCUUCGGUUUUGUUUCGGCUUCUUUAAAAGUUCCUCAUUUUAAAAGUUCUGUGAGCCAAAUUCUGUUAGAAUGAACAAAUAAGCUAAAAAUGUUGGCUUUAAAUAAGAGCUUUUUUACUUUCAACUUCCUCUUUCAUUGCCAAUGACACAUUCCUUUCUUUUUCAUUUUUUUUUCUCCCCAUCUAAUGAGAAUGAAAUCCUUCAGUUGCUUAGGUGCCUUAAUCUGGGUUGGCCUUUACUUUUAUAUCUUUGGAAGACUUCUACAUUUUUGCCUUAGGUUCUCAUUUUAUACAAUGCAGAAUCUCCAUUCGAGUUUCGUGCUCUAGAGGUUGCUUUAGAAGCAAUCUGCAGCUUCCUUGAUGCACGUACCACGGAGCUGGAGACUGCUGCCUACCCUGCAUUGGAUGAGCUAACUUCCAAGGUGAGUAAAUAUUCUCUCGCUGUUGUUCUUUUUUCUUGCAUAUCAAACAGCUAUUUUCUAUAAAUUUGUGAGGGCUUGCUUUUCAUUCUUAAUCUUAUAUUACCUACUAUUAUUAAUGCAUAUGGUGUUAUUUCCUGCAGUUGUUACUUAUUACACCAUUGCAUUAUUAAUGCAGAUUAGUAGCCGUAACUUGGAUCGGGUUAGAAAGUUGAAGAGUGCAAUGACAAGGUUGACUGCUCGGGUCCAGAAGGUGUGUUUUCCCCUACUAAAUUUCCGACUACUUUUGAUUUUAUUUGUCAAACGAAUGUAGACAUUUCCUCCGCAAAUAGACAAAAAAAAAAAAAAAAAAUUCUUUAUGUGUUUCCAGUAAGGUUGUCUAGAGUUGUGUGCUCUACAGGUUAAUGCAAAGAAGAAUUUGAUGGUUGUACUACUUUCUUUGUCCCUUGCAAUUUCAUCAUAUAAGCAGAGCUAAAUUAAUGCAGCAGGAAAGCAACUUGAUGUCCACGACCUGAUGUACUAAUAUUUGUCUAAGAAAACUACACCACUAAAUUUCAUUUUACGGUAUACCCUGUCUGGUUUAAAUGUCUUGGUUUCUGUCUUUUGUUGCCUCAUCAAGUAUACUAUCCUCACUAGGUAAGAGAUGAGCUUGAACAAUUACUGGAUGAUGAUGACGACAUGGCAGAUCUUUACUUGUCAAGAAAGAUGGCCGGGGCUGCUUCUCCUGUCAGCGGCUCUGCUGCAUCCGGUUGGUACCCUGCCUCACCUACAAUAGCCUCAAAGAUAUCUCGGGCAAGCAGGGCAAGUGCAGUAACAUUACAUGGAAAUGAGAAUGAUGUCGAGGAGUUGGAAAUGUUACUUGAGGUUUACAAAAGAGCACAUCUUUGUUCAUUACUUUGUACAAUAUCAAAAUAAAGAUUGAAUAGAGAAGAAUACCAUUCUUUCUUUUAUAUGCAAAUCUAAAAAUAUCAUUGUAUCUCUGCAGGCGUACUUCAUGCAGAUUGAUGGAACAUUGAACAAAUUGACCACUGUAAGUCAGAAACUAAUAUCAAAUUAAGUAUUCCUUGAGCUAUUAACUACUUUCAUUGCAUGUUCUAGUGAGCUGAUUAAUAUGGUUAAUCGGGAUCAAGCAUCAGAUGGGAUCAUCUAACCUAGAAAUGGAUUGGAUAAAUUAAGGCUAAAAUGAGCUUAUCAUCUCAUUUUGCUAAAGCGCAUAAUGCAUAAUGCAUUUGUCCACAGGCAACACUUCUAUGUUCACAAAAUGGGUCUCAGAGCAUUUGCUACAUGGACAAAAUUGAAAAAAUGCAAUCCACUUAAUUGAAGCGCGAUCUUUCUGCAUUAUGAGCUUUUUCAUGUUGUCUUUAAGGUCUCUUAUUCAAAAACUUCAACCUAGAUAACUUACAUAUAAGUUUUUCUUCAAUCACUUUCCAGCUGCGUGAGUAUAUUGAUGACACAGAAGACUACAUCAAUAUUCAGGUCUCACUUUGUCUUGCUCUUAUAUGAUGUUCUUGUCUAGAAUACAUGUUGAUACUAAACCAACUUGAUAAUUUGCCUAUGCAGCUCGACAACCAUCGAAAUCAAUUGAUUCAGGUGACAGUCCAUCGGCAGUUGGUUUUGUCCAUCAGCAGUUUUAGAAAUUGUUUACUCUACCGACUGGGGCUUAGCCCAGCAGUAGGAGAGGGAUUUUUUUUAAAAGAAAUGUUAGUUGACGAGUGGUUUUUGGUCUUAAAUUUUGUUUUGUUCUUGUUAUGGCAGUUGGAGCUAUUCUUAAGUUCAGGAACUGUAACCCUCUCUUUGUACUCAUUGGUUGCCGGCAUAUUUGGGAUGAAUUUACCCUACUCGUGGAAUCAAAACCAUGCAUACGUCUACAAAUGGGUAGGUCUUUACUUAUCAGUCAACACAAGCAUGUUUGGCAGCACUUGUGUUCAUUUUUUGGCUUACUUUUUCAUUCUUUUUUAAUUGAUUAACAGGUGGUCCUCGUCGGUGGACUUGGUUGCGCCCUUUUCUUUGUCUUGAUUAUUGCCUAUGCUCGCUACAAAGGCCUCGUCGGGUCUUGAUUGCCCACAGAGCCGUACCCAAUUUUACGGCAGAACAGUUUCAUAUUAUCAUUGAAAAGAUUAAAUCACCUCCUACCUGCUUCAGAAGAACAUGCUCUUCUUGUGGUUAUGUUUUCAUUGAUCAUCAUUCGGAUGUACACUUUUCCUCUGUAGUCUCCUACAAGUUGUUCGCGGCUUCAUCCAGUUAACAGAUUCAAGUUGGGGACAACGCAUUCAUCUCAUUCCCAUUAGCUAUUCGAUACUGACAAUUUUGGUAUGAAAGUCGAUGUUGAGCAGUAAGAGGGAAAAAUGUUGUAUCAGUUCAUUCAUGAUUGGUCGAUUUGUAAGGUUUUUUCAUGGUAAUAAAAAUGGGAACAGGGUCGUAGUAGCUCAUAUAAACUUAGUGUAAUCUAAGACAUUAUAUAUUUAUAGAAUUUGGAUGGAAUACUAUUAAUAACAUCAAGUCAUUGAUGCAAUUAAGUUUUGAGUACUUGGAUGAAAAAAUGUGCGGUUAAGAUGUUAAUGGUUAUCGAUACAAUUCUAGCCGGACUCUCUCUCUCUCUCUAUAUAUAUAUAUAGUCCCUCUUUUGGGGUUUAUAUUAUUCAUUUGUUUGUGGUGUGUGAUUAUGUCGCAGUUUUGGUCUUGUUUGAUAGAAUCUAACUGUGGGCAACAGAGCCUACUGUCACAGACUUAGCGUUUUCGUUCGCAAAGCCCGUGCGGCGCCCACCUUUCCUGCUCGAAGAUGGACAAGCCUUUGUCCCUAUUGCUAGCCCGGACCUUCGCGUCCUACGACUAAGUAUGCAAAGGGAAAUGACAAAGAGAAAGAGGCAGAGGUUCUCUCAAAAAAACUAAGUACUACACUACUUAGAAAUGAGAAUUACAACCUACAAACAGCAUACAAACACACUCUCUCUUGUGUGUCAUGGCCUUAGCCAACCCCACUAUUUAUAGGCCCAAAGGUGCCUUUUCAACUCACCCACUACCACAUAACUCACCCAUUAUUACAUACAUAAUGAGCCUACAUAAUGAUCCCUCAUAAAUGCCAAAAGCUCAAGAGUCACCCAUAACUCCCAUGAGUUUCAUGACCCUUGAGUUUCCCACAGCGGGUUGGGUUUGUGUCUACUUGCCAACCCGAUUCGACCCGUCUUCAACCCGAACUCGCUAAGCAGAUUUGGGCUAGGGACCGGGCUGCAUAGGAAUUUUUCUAAGUCCCUGACACCCUCCUCCACCUAAUGCGCAGGCGUCCUCGUCGCGCGCUGCUUCUGGAACUCGUCGAUGAGCGCUUGGUACUGCCAAAGUGUGUCCGCCUUCUCCCAACUCGCCUCGCCAAACGGGAGAUUCUUCCACUUCACCAAGUACUCAGGAUUCGGCACGACCCCACGUCGCCGAAUGAGUCGAGUGUCCAGGAUGGACUCCGCUUCUUUGUCGAACGAAGUCACCAUGGUCGGAGGCGCUCGCUGCGACACUCCUCUGCUCGGAUCCUCCGCAUCCUCGUUGUACAGCUUCAACCUGCUGACAUGAAAAACAGGGUGGAUCCUGAGGUUUGCGGGCAGCUGCAGCUUGUAGGCCCCCUUGCCCACACGCUUGACGACGGUAUAUGGGCCUUCGUACUUGCGCAGCAGUCCCUUGUGCACCUUCCGCAAGGCUUUGAACUGCUGCGGAUGAAGCUUGACCAUCACGCAGUCCCCCUCGGCAAACUCCCGAGGCUGUCGCUUUUCGUCAGCCCACUUCUUCAUCCGUCGUGCUGCUUUCUCCAAGUUCGCCCUUGCAAUUUCACCCUUUUCCUGCAAGUUAGUGGUAAACUGAAGAGCAACAGGGCUGCGGAACUGCUCUCCCGCAGCAGCCGUGUGAGGGGCAAGUGGUUGUCGCCCGAUCGCCAACUCGAAAGGGCUGCAGCCGGUAGACUCGCUGCGCCGCAAAUUGUAAGCAAACUGGGCGACAUCGAGAUGAUGCACCCAAUCUUUCUGAUUGGCACUCACAUAGUGCCGCAAAUACUCCUCCAACAGAGCGUUCACCCGCUUAGUUUGCCCGUCGGUCUGUGGAUGCCAACUGGUGGAGAAGAGCAACUCCGACCCCAAGAUUUUGAACACCUCGGUCCAAAACUUGCCAGUGAACCUGGGGUCGCGGUCGCUCACGAUGCUCGUGGGGAUCCCCCAAAGCUUGACGAUGUGGCUGACGAAGAGGCGUGCCGCUUCUUCAGCCGUGCAAUCGGUCGGCGCAGCAAUGAAGGUCCCGUACUUGGAAAAACGAUCAACCACCACCAGAAUGGACCCAAGCACCCCCACCUUUGGUAAGGCGGAGAUGAAGUCCAUCGAAAUGCUCUCCCACGGACGGCUAGGCACAGGUAAAGGCUCGAGGAGUCCGCCAGGUCGCUGGGCUCAACUUUUGUCUGUGACACACAAGCAGGUUCGCACGUAGCCUCCACGUCUUCGUGCAUCCGCGGCCAAAAGUAGGCGCCUCGACAACGCCAGGGUUCGCUUCUGACCUGGGUGCCGCCCACUUGGAGUCAUGGCACUCCUGAUAGCUCGCGGCGAAGGUUGCCCGCACUUGCGACGUACACCCGUCGCCCCUUGGUUGAGGAGCAGCCCGUCGCUCAUCCAAAAAUCUUCAGCGUUUUGCCCUCCUUGACAAGCCUGGCACGCAGAUUUUGAGCGAUAACGGUCCUCAUCUGGUUCCUGAACGAAGUCGAUCGCGGGCGUCCCUUGAAGCUGCCACAAUCGGCUGCAAGCUCAGCCUUGCGGCUGGAGAGCAUCAGCACGACGGUUUUCCUUUCCGGGCCUUAUAUUGGCAUCUCCAUGUCGAACUCCGCCAAGAAGUCCUGCCACCUGGUCGCCCUCGCCUGCUUAGGCGACAGCUUCUUUGCGAUUGGAAGUAGGCUCGUGGCAAACGUUGUCGGUGCGCACACACAAACUUGCUCCAAGCGCAAUAGUGCCGCCAGGUUUCGCAAGCAAUGCACGCACAGCGGUCAUUUCCUUCUCCUGGAUCGUGUAUCGCCGGCUCGUGUCGUUGAACUUGCGGCUCUCAUAGGCGACGGGGUGCCAUCCUGCACGAGGAAAACUCAAUGGCAAAAUCAGAGGCAUCAGUAUGUACUCAAAGGUGGCGACUGCAGUCGGGUAGUCGCAGCACUGGAUCCUCGUCACCGUCCGCUUUAGGUCCUCGAAUGCCUCCGCACAUUGAGAGUUCCAAACCCACGAGUGGUUUUUCUUCAGCAGAUCCGUCAACGAGGCUGCUCUCUGCAGAGUACCAGCAAUGAAUCGUGCGGUAGUAGUUGACGAGCCCAAGGAAAGACCGAAACUCGGACACCGGUCGUUGGGUCUCCCAUUUGCAGAUGGCUCGCACCUUCCGCUGGUCCAUGCGAAUCAGGCCCUGGCCUAUCCAGUGCCAAGGAAGUGCACCUCUUCCUUCGCGAAUAUGCACUUCUCCUUCUUGACGAACAGCUGGUUCUCCCGCAGCACUUGGAAGACGUUCGCAAGUGCUCGAUGUGUGCUCCUCCAAGGUGUUCUGUAUACCACGCAUGUCGUCGAGGUACACCACCACAAGCGAUCGAGAUAGGGGUGGAACAGCUUGUUCAUAAGUGUGCAGAAGGUCGCUGGCGCGCUUCGUCAAGCCGAACGGCAUGACAAGGACUCAUAGGCCCCGUACCCUCGUCACAACACGAGUGGUCUUCUCCUCGUCUCCUUCUGCAAUCCGCACUUGAUAUACCCAGAGCGAAGGUCGGUUUGGUGAAGUACUUUCGCUCCGCCCAAUUGUCGAAGAGAUCUGCAACCAGGAAUUGGGUAUUUGUUUUUGACCAUUACUUGUUGAGCGCUCUGUAAUCGAUACAAGCCGCAGGCUUCCGUCGCUCUUGCGCUGGAACACAAAACUGGUGCUCCAUAGGCUGCCUUUGACGGUCGAUAAGCCCGCAUCGAGAGCUCCUUCAACUGUUUUGCAGCUCCUCGAGCUCUGGCGGCCAUUCUAUAAUGGCGCUUUCGCGCGGUUUGGCCCUGGCUCGAGCUCAAAUGGCAUGAUCCACCUCCCGUCUAGGUGGAACUUGCUUCGGCAGUUCCUUUGGCAUGACAUCCUGGAAAUCUGCCAAGACCGCCCCAAUCUCUGCAGGAAGGCCCUGCCUCGUCGAGGCCCUCGUCGCUCAACUCGCGGAUCGCCGCAAGGUAAGUCAUCUCACCACGGUUCACACCCCUUCGCACUGCAAUGCAGAGAGGGUUGGGUGCCUUACCGUUUUCUCCAUGGCUUGCUAAGGACCGCAUGCAUGGGCCGCCGUCCCAUCCUGAUGCUCAAGGCCCAAGGUGUGGCAUCGGAACCGCCUUCGACGAAGCCAAAAAUCCAUACCUAGUAUGACUUGGAAGUCGUCGAUGGGUGGCAGCGGUGAAGUUUGCGGUGCUCUCCAAGGUCCCACACGCAAUGGCCGACCCUUGGCCACGCCCGCAACAGUUGCGGCCUCAGAGUUGACGGCUUUGAUCUGCUAAGAGUCUCUCCAAGGGGAAGGCCUAUCCGUUUGGCCUCCACUUCGGUCAGAACAAAGUUAUGAGUGGCUCCCGUGUCACCAAAUGCUCCGUGUGGCCCUCGUUAAAGGGUCACAUCGAUGUACAAAGCUCCUUGUUGAGGGCUCUGCUGCUUGCCAGCCCUGAACGCGUUGAAGAGCCUACGCGCCCAUCUUCGUCGUUCAGCACUGCCCUCGAGCCCUGCUCGGUCUGGACAGCAUCAGCUUCUUCUUGUUUGGCAGUCCCUUCGCCCAAUGGUUCUCGCCGCAGACUGUAGCACGUCAAUUUCUUGGCGCGGGCACAACUGGACCUCUCGCGGCCCCUGUCGGUCCUUCUGGUUCCGACGGUCUCUCCACCUUAAGCCUUGCUCGCUUUGCGUCUUGUCUGCGAGUUGCAAUCCGCACCGCUCGUACUCGGCCAGUUUUCCGCCAAGGCAUUUGCGGAGGCAACGUCUUGACGUCGCGUCCCACAAGCUCUUGUCUCCCAAGGUGUGGAUCCGUCAAGGAAGAAGAAUUAAGGCCGAUCAUUCCUCCGGCCAUGCUUGGUGAUGACAGCAUUGCAACUUGGAGUAUUCCUUGACAUACUCCUUUUGAGGCGUCCGUGUGUUUGAAGCCCGUGAAGUGCUUCCUCGCAAGGUAUCGACGUGCUCAGGGUAAGAACUGCGCCUUGAGCUCUGCGCACAAGAAUCUCCACGUCUUCAAUUUGCAUUGUGCCCCUUCUCGCUUCUGGCAGAACGCCGACGCACCAAGCAUCGCAGUCAUCAGCAAGGUACAUGGAUGCAGCCGGCCUUUCUCAUCUUCGCGUCCCCAGGGCCGCAAGCGCUGAAGUUAGCGGCUCCAUGUGCACGAGAAGUUGCGAUCCUCCUUCUCGGUCGCGGGUUCCCCUGAAUUUUUGAGCUUCGGAUAGUACCUUCGAAGCGUGACGUCAUCGUUGGGUCGUGCCACGCCAAUAGGGGAUACCCCGCUUUCCUCCAAGGAUCGUUACUCUUGUCUUGAGGUCCUCGUGACCUCUGUCGACGAUCAAGCAACAAGCUCCCCGAUGCAGAUUUCUUGUCGCUCCUCGUGCAUCGACUCUUCAUUGUUGGCGUUGAGGCUUUCAAGUUGCGCAUAUCGAAAUGUCUCCAUGGCAUAGCGACGCUUUACAUCCAUGUGUGGACAUCUUCGUUGAAAUGAGUUAAAAGGUAUCCGCCAUCUCGGUGUACUUUCACCGCAUUUCGCGAUUAACGUCCUCCACCAGCACUAAGGCGGUCCUCCAAAUGACCCGAUCGAUCCCUGCGUGAUCCGCUGAGGGUCUUUGCCUUGGCGGGUCGUUUGAGGGGCCUGCUGGAGGUCGCCCCCAACGUCGACGAUUCAGCGCAUUCGAUGACGACAUGGUUCUCGCUCGAAUCCGCUCUGAUGACCAACUGUCACGAUAGCGUUUUCGUUCGCAAAAGCCCGUGCGGCGCGCCCAACACUUUACUCUGCUCGAAGAUAGGACAAGCCUUUGUCCAUAUUGCUAGCCCGGACCUUCGCGUCCUACGACUAAGUAUGCAAAGGGAAAUUACAAAGAGAAACGAGGCAAGAGGUUCCUCAACUAAAGUACUACCUACUUAGAAAUGAGAAUUACAACCUCAAACACAAACAAAAACACACAUCUCCUCCUUGUGUGUCCAUGGCUUAGCCAACCCCAGCAAUUUAUAGACCAAAGGUCCUCUUCAACUCCCCACUACACAUAACCACGGCCAUUAUUACACCUACAUACACGAGCCUACAUAAUGACCGCUCAUAAAUCGCGAAAAGCUUCAAGAGUCACCCAUAAUCGCAUGAGUUUCAUGACCCUUGAGUUUCCCACAGCGGGUUGCGGUUUGGUCUACUUGGCCAACCCGUCGAACCCGUUACCCGAACGAUCGCUAAGCAGAUUUUGGGCCAGGUGACUCGGGCUGCAUAGGAAUUUCUCUAAGUUCCCUGACAUACGGAUAAAAACAAAUAAGCCCUGCGCAAGCUACGUAACAAUGUUUGGAUUGCCAAUGAAGAUACGAUGUUUGGGGCUGGCGGCUAGCGACGGAAACAAAUCUAAAGCCAGUGGUACGAAAAAAAAAAAAAAAAAAAAAACAAAGGAUAGGUUUAGGUUAUAAGAUUAAACCAGAGAGAUAGUUUUACUAAAUUUUGUUUUAAAACUUUAAGAGCAGUCUGUUUUGUUUUGUUUUGUUUUGUUUUGUUUGUUUUGCCUUGUAUUAUUUCUGAUGUCCUCAACCCUUGUGGCCUCAGUUGAGCAAGCCUCCAUGUCUAUUUCACUCCUGUACCUCAUCUUCAAAUAGGGUGAACCCCUGUUUAAUCAAAAAAAAUUUUAAGAGCAGUCAAAAGUUUCUCUUUCACCGCAGCAUUGUCUGCUUCUUUGGACAGAGCAAUUGCAGGUGGCCCAGCUCUACAAGAGCAUCGACCUCCGAGCUUACUUGGUUCCGCUUCUGUAAUAAUCGAAAUCUACAAUUUUUUUUUUAUUUUUAUUUAGGGAAAACUUCAAAAACCUCCCUUGUGUUUUCAAUUUUUUUCACUUUAGUACCCUAUGGUUUAAAAUGUAUCAAGUUAGUAUCUCUGUGAUUUCUCACUUUAUCACUUUAGUACUCUGUGAUUUAAAGUGUAUCAAGUUAGUAUCCCGUGGUUUUGCAUUUUAUCACUUUAGUACCAUGUGGUUUUAAUUUUGUAUCAAAUUAGUACCCUGUGGUUUUUUAAACUAUGGGGUAUUGAAACCACAGGGUACCAAAGUGAUAAAGUGAGAAACCACAAGGUACUAACUUGAUACACUUUAAACCAUAGGGUACUAAAAUAAAAAAAUGUGAAACCACGGGGGGAUUUUUGAAGUUUUUCCUUUUAUUUAUUAACUGUUCCUAACACAAAUGGUAAAGAAUUUGUUGGUUGGUAACGAGGUCUUUAAGUUCAAAGCUUAAUUAUUUUAUGUAGGCUUAGUAGCAAACCCACAAGAGUAAAGAGGGCAAAAAUUUUAUGGGCAUAGUCCCCUGCGGAUGGGCGCAUAGUUUGGGGACUACGCGGAUCGGCAUUGUGUGGCCCAUCCGACGGCUACGGAUGGAAAGAAAGAAAAAAAAAAAAAAAGCCUUGUGUUUUUAGAGAGAGAAAAAAUAACUGAGAAAGACAUCCGUCGGAUCGGUCACGUGGCGCCGAUCCGCGUAGUGACUAUGC
RNAcentral lists this long non-coding RNA (70567 nucleotides) under Ananas comosus (pineapple). RNAcentral's name for it is "long non-coding RNA (ACOM_LNC022717)". The record is from RNAcentral. Lineage: Eukaryota; Viridiplantae; Streptophyta; Magnoliopsida; Poales; Bromeliaceae.